RNAcentral lists this long non-coding RNA (82718 nucleotides) under Nicotiana tabacum (common tobacco). Its description in RNAcentral is "long non-coding RNA (NTAB_LNC007214)". Lineage: Eukaryota; Viridiplantae; Streptophyta; Magnoliopsida; Solanales; Solanaceae. The record is from RNAcentral.
UUUUUUUUUUUUUUUUUGCUUUCUGUACUUAAAGCACGAAUGUUCUUCACAUGAAAAUACCAUAGUAAAUGAUGAAACCCAGAAGAAGCUUCGAAUUUAUGGUAAGGAAUGAUGCUUACCUUAGAGAGAAAAUAGAGAAGAGAUGUAACGGUGGAAUGAUCGAGUGAAGGAGGGAGAAAGUGUUCGUGUUUAUUUAGGAGUGAUUUUCAAAACUUAAAUGAACGGAUUUCCUCCUCAUUGUUAGCUACCGUAACUAAUUUAUGUAAACAUGUUUGACUGGGUAAGAAGUUUAAGAAAAAAUGAAUACUUUUAGAAUUUGUGAUCCUAAACAAGUCAAAAAGGGUCUAGAGUAUUUGUGUGGUUAUUAAAGCUUCUUAUUAAGGGUAGAAUUGGAAGUUUAAACUAAAUUGUUUUCAAAUUUAAAAAGGAAAUAUUAUUUUUUUAAACGGAUCAAAAAGAAAAUAUAUACAUAUAAACUGGAACAAAGAGAAUACUUAUUUAGGAGUGAUUUACGGAUGGUAUCUAAUUGGGAGACAUUCAAAAUUUAAGUGUACUCAUGAUUAUUUUUUUCUUUUUUUCAAUUUUUUUUAUUUGGUGGAAAAGUUAUUUAUCUAGUAAAGAAUUUCUUUAUUUACGCCAACUGUUUUUAUCAUUUGUAGAAAAUUAAUUUCUUUCACAAUUUAUAAAUACUUUAUAAAUAUUUUUAGAAAAUUAAGUUUGUUCAUCUGUUGAAUCUUUAUCUUUUCACUCUCUUCAAGAGUCUGUUUUUCAUUUAUUCUGAAUUCCAAGUACUGCCACAUAUUAAUGUAUCCAACGUUGUUUGUGUUUGUUCCAUUCAUACGUAAAAAUAUUACUCUCUCCCCUUUACAAUAAGUGAUUUAUUGGUCUAUUUUUUUGUGGUUCAAAAUAAGUAAUUUUUCUAAAUUUCAAGAAUGAAUUAAUUAUUUGUUUCCUACACUACCUUUGGAGUAAAUAAUGUUGGAAGAAUGUGUUAGGAGUGUUUAUAUGAAUAGAUGGUAAAUAUUAAUAUGGUCAAUUUCAUUACUAAUUAAUAUUAAAAAGUAAAUUUCUUAAUCUAUGUGAAAACAACAAAAAAAAAUUACUUAUUAUAAACCCGAAGGAGUAGUAUCUUUGUUCGUGAUAUGCAUGGUGGAAUAUUAGAAAACUUUUUGUUUCCAUAUUAUGGGAAGUGCUUAGGAAUAUUUCCCCUACUUUGGUCCUAGAAAAAGUAUAUAAUGCCGACGUUAAAAGUUAUGCUUGUGAUGUGUGAAACUUUAGUAAAGUGAAGAGUAAGAGCAAGAUAUAUGGAGUACUAAAUUACUUGAUGGUGGGGUUGCUGGGAAUCAAUAUUAGAAAUUCCUACAGCUAAGCCAAUAAGCCAUCUCAUCAAAAAUUCUAACACGUUUUAGCCAUCUAUAUGAUUCACGUUUGCUUGGCUAUUUUUUCUAAUUCAUCGGAUACUUUGCUACCUUCCGGCUGUUAGGUUUGGAGAACGGGGUUUCGUGAAUGGGUAUGAAUGAGAAAUAGAAGAGACAGCUUUUAAAUUGCACAAAUUCAUCUUACCUUUUUAUGUCUAUAAAUUUAGAGGCUUAGUUUUAUUUUUCAAAAAAAUAGAAAAUCUGAAAAUUUCUCCCAUUUUUUCUACAUUAUUGUAUUAAUUUUUUAAUUAAAUAUAAGUGUUAAGUGUGAUUUGCUCUGUUUGUUGAGUUCGCUGAAAUUCUGUAAUUUCGAUUGCUGGUAUUACAGAAUAGUUUUCCCGUUUUAUCCUGAGAGGAAGUAAUCCAUAAUCUUGGACAACAGUGAGAGGAUUAAAUUCCUUAAGGACACACAAGUAACUUGUGGGCUCGAAAAUUAUUUUAUGUUUAAUGUUUCGUCGCUUCUCUGAUUUUGAACACAUUUUACCAACAAAUUUAAGGAAUUUAACGAAUUAUUGUUUAUUUUUGAUUACUGGAUUUGCCUGGUACUCUCGUAUGGGAAAAGAAAGGGGGUGGGGGGGUUGGGGGGUGGGGAAUGUAGUACAGUAGAAGCGAAAUGAAUGAAUUCUUGGUUCUCAUCUUUUCUCACCAGUGCACUAGUAUGCCAUUAAUGGCCAAAGACAAUGUGUUCAAACGGUUUGCAAGAAAUCUUCGAACAGUCGUUACCAAUUACAAAUGUUUUCAUGGCUUACAAAUUUGGAACAAUGGAUUGAUUUCGUUCAUCCAUAGCUGACUUUGGGUUAUGAUUAAAGUGGAACAAAGUGUCCUAUUUAUUUCUACUAUGCAGUGAUUCAAAAGAAAGGCAACUUAAAUGAAAUAUUGGACCUUGAACGUGGCAUCAAAUUUUGAAUUGACUGGUUGGAUAAAAUCCAGUACCAUUUGAAUGCAGUUCCAGCGAUAUUUUCAUUUAAAUCAGGCAUCAGAUUGUUAUUGUUCAUACGAUUUGUAUCGUUUCGUAAAUAUCAAAGGAAUUGUAAGAGGAGCAAUUCUCACGGUACAUGAAGGUCUUUGUGGGACUAAUCAUGAGAAAGUGACAACUAUGCCGGGUUAUGCUUUCUUUACUUUACUCAUUAUUUUAAUUUUCUAUCCUUUGUGAUUCACGAAUUCAGUUUCUAAAAAUGAUAGGAUAGAUAAUUAUUUUAUGAUGAUCUCAAAAUAUAUUCUAUUUGCAUGGCAUAAAAUAUAUUAGUUGGUAUAUAAUUUGAUAGCAUGCAUAAAAUUAUGUGACAUUAUUUUUAAGAUUGUAAGACAUGAAUUAGGCUUACACUAAUACUUGAAAAUUAUUUUGAGAUCAUGAAGAUGAUAUUUUAUAUGUAUAUUAUUUUCGAUCAAUAUAUAUAUAUAUAUAUAUGUGUGUGUGUGUGUGUGUUGGUUUGAUAAGAAUAAUGACAAGAGUGGGCUGCUCUAGUGGUGAACACCCUCCACUUCCAAUCAAGAGGUUGUGAGUUCGAGUCAUCCCAAGAGCAAGGUGGAGAGUUCUUGGAGGGAGGGAGCCGAGGGUCUAUCAGAAACAGCCUCUCUACCCCAGGGUAGGGGUAAGGUCUGCUACACACUACCUCUCCAGAUCCCACUAGUGGAAUUAUACUGGGUUGUUGUUGUUGUUGUGGUUUGAUAAGAAUAAUAUAUCAAACGGUUAACAUGUUCGGGAGUUAUAAUGGUUUAGUUGGAAAGCCAUUUGAAAAAGAAAAUCAAAAUACUUGUGAUUUUCUACCCAUGUUUUGGAGAAAAUUAAAUUUUUCAGGAUUUUCUACUCCCGUUGUGGAGACCAAAAUCUUUGUGAUUUUCUACUCAAUCUUUGAGAUUAAAAUCGUCAUGACGUUCUAUUUAUUUUCGGAGAUUAAAGUGUGAGUGGCUUUCUACUAACUUCAGAGAUUAAAAACUAAGUGAUUUUCUACUCCAACUUUUUACUUGGUUUGAAGAGUAAAAACUUCAUCGUUUGACUAAUUCUGGUUGUGUCAAAUAUUACUCGGUUUGAAGAUUAAAAAAAAUCUCACCGUUUAUUAAAUCUAGUUGUGUCAGAUAUUGCUCGGUUUAGAGAUUAAAAACUUUACCGUUUAUUAAUUCUGGCUGUCGAGACACAAACAACAGUUCAUGUGCUUGGCUCUACAAAGUAAUAGGGGCGAUGACUAUGAAUCUCAUUUUAAAGAAAUAUGUUUGGAAUAUGGUAUUAUUCAUCCAACGACAGCCUCUUAGGCAUCGCAAUCUAAGGAAUUGUAGAAAAAAAUAAUAUAACGUUAAAGGAGAUGAUGAAUGCCUUGUUGAUAAGUUCUAGUUUACCCCAGAGCUUGUGGGGGGAAAGUUAUUAUUACAGUUAACCGAAUACUGAGUCGAGUUUCCCAUAGCAAGACGCAAUCCAUUCCAUAUGAAAAUAGAAUGGAAGGAAGCCCAACUUAAAUAUUUUAAAGUGUGGGGUGCUUAGCGAAAGUGCAAGUUCCUAAAAUCAAAAAGGUAAAGAUCAGACCGAAAAUUAUUGAUUGCGUUUUCAUAGGAUAUGCAACAAAUAGUAAGGCAUAUCAUUUUUUGGUUCAUAAAUCAGAAAAUUGACAUUCAUAUUAAUGUGUUAAUCGAAUUAGAUAAUUCUGAAUUCUAUGAGAAACUUUAUCCAUAUAAAAAAGGAAUGUGAGUUGUCUAGUAAAAUAUCUAAACGACCUCUCGAAGAAGCAAAGGAAAGUACACCUAAUGAGGUGAAUCCAAGACGUAGUAAACGUCAAAGGACAACUACUUCUAUUGGAUCAGAUUUUCUGACAUUCUUGUUGGAAAAUGAGCUUUAAACUUUGAAAGAAGUUAUGUCUUCCUCGGAAAGAAGCAAUCAAUAGCGAGAUAGAAUUCAUAUUAAAUAAUCAUACUUGGGAGUUAGUUGAUCUUACUCUAGGGAAUGAAUCAUUGGCUUACAAAUGAAUUUUCAAGAGAAAAAUAAAAAAUGAUGGCACUAUUGACAUGUAUAAGGCAAUACUUAUUGUCAAAGGAUAUAGACAACGAGAAGGCCUUGACUAUUUUAACACAUACUCGUCGAUUAUGAGUAUUACGUGCAUAUGGAUGUUAGUAGCAUUGGCUACAGUGUAAGGUCUUAAAAUCUAUCAAAUUGAUGUAAAGACAAAAUAAUAUUGUCAAAUGGCUUCAAAAUUAAUGAGUGUAAAUAAAUGUGUUUACGUUAAGAAUACUUCAAAUCAUAUAGUCAAUAUUGAUUAUAUGUGGAUGAUAUGUUGAUGAAAUAUUUAAAAUGUGGGGGCUUUUAGCUUAUGCAUGACAAAAGCCAAUGUUAGACGUAAUGUCUAAAUGAUAUAAUUUUUGAACCCCGCCAAUUUUUAGUGGAUAUUGAUAUGAUAGUCAGUGAAUUCAUUACUUGUUCAGUCUUAGUGAUGACUAGUGAUGACACUACAAAUUUGAAAGUUUUUUACGUGCCUUUCAGAAAUGAUUUGUUCAUUCUUGAACAUUUAUAAUGUUUAGCUCUUUUAUGAAAAGGGUGUCAUCUGGAAGGCUGUGAUUUUUCAUGAAAAGUGCAUUUGUAUGUUUUGUAUAAACAUGACCAUUCAUGAACGAAUGUAUUAAUACGCUAGUCUAUAUUGAGGUGAACCAAUCGAUUAACAUGACCAAAAUCCAUUGCAAGUUGGAUUUGUUUCAUUAAUGAAGGUGCUAUAAUUUGCAUAUCACAUAGACGUAUGAAUAAAUAGCAUACAAAUGCUUGAAAAUGGCUGAGUGAUUAUGAAAUGUGUUAUGUAUUAAAAGGUUGUGGCACAACUUAUGCCAAUCAUUCCAGUUGUUGUUAUAAUAUACUAUUGCAAUAGAAAGUCGAGACGUAUUAGUCUACGACACAAGGAAGUUUGCAUUGAACUAUCAUGACAAUAAAAAUAAGUUUUGGGAUAUUUAAAAUACAUCCAUGACUAUGCAUUUCACUAUAAUAAGUAUCAUAGGAGUAUUGAGGGGUAUAGUGAUGCAAAUUAGAUCACCGGAUCAACCUAAACUAAAUUCGCAAGUGGAUAUAUUUUUACAAUCAGUGGAGGAGCACUGUCUUGGAAAUCGUCCAAACAAAUAUGCAUUGCCGCUCUACAAUUGAGGGUGAAUUUAUAGCCUUAGACAAGGCCGGUGAAGAAGUUGAAUGACUUGAAGAAAUUCCAUCUUAGCCCAAAAUAUUGGCACAUAUAUGCAUACAUUGCGAUGGUCAAACGACAAUAGGAAGGGCUGGGAGCAUUAUGUAUAACGAAAAAUCUUGUCAUAUACGACGAAAACAUAAAACGGUUAGGCAACUACUCUCUAAGGAAAUUAUAAAAAUUGACUAUGUGAAGUCAAGCGUUAGUGUGUCGGAUCCAUUUACAAAAGGCCUAACUAGAGAGGUAGUUGAAAAAUCAUCGAUUAAAAUGGGACUAUGGCCAAGAACAAGUCAUUGUGGCAGUAACUCUACCUAGAAGACUGAAGAUCCCAAGAUCUAGGUUCAAGGAGCUCAAACAAAGUCAUUAAUGACAGUUCAAAAUUGUCAAAUAAUUUUUUUGGUCCAUUCUCAUGAUGAGACAAUGUUCAGUACCAAGGAUAAAGCGUUAAGGCUUUUUAAUGGUUUCUAAGUUAGAUACGGUGUAUAUCAAAUAGUGUAACUACGGGAUUACACGUUUAAGAAUUGCCUAUGUAAGUGUGAAGUGUUAGCCGCUUCAAGGAGAUUUCUGUAAAGAUAAUUAUCUAUGCACUUAUGAAACCAGGCGGUGUUCAUGGCUGAAACGAACAUAACAAUGAGAACCAAAGAUGGUUAAGGGUUGAUUGUAUGACUUAUGGUUAUCUAGGUAUACACCAAAUCUCGACGGUUUAAACAUAUCAAAUCUACCGAUUGACUAAGUAUAUCCGACAUAUGUUCACUACGUAAAGUUUAAAGGGAAACCUACUUAUCCAGAUUGACUAACCAAAGAUGUUUUGCAUGUUUUUUAAAACAUAUUGUCAUUCCCCAUUCAUGUGGUGGAUUAUUAGGUUUCGUGGAUGGGUGUGAAUGGGAAAUGGAAGAGGCACCUUUUGAAUUGCACUUCUUCAUCUCACCCUUUUUUUUAUCUAUAAAUUAGAGACUUGGCCUCAUUUUUCAAGAAAAUAGAAAAUCUGAAAAUUUCUCCCAUCUUCUCUACAUUAUUGUAUUAGUUUUUCAAAUAAACAUAAGUGUCAAGUGUGAUUUGCUCUGUUUGUUGAGUUUGCUGAAAUUCUGUAAUUUCGAUUGCCAGUAUUACCAAAUAAGUUUUUCGUUUUAUCCUGGGAGCAAGUAAUCCACAAAUUUAGGCUACAGUGAGGAGAUUAAAUUCCUUAAGGACACACAAGAAAUUUGUAGGCUCGGAAAUUAUUUUAUGUUUUGCUUCAUUGAACUAAUAUUUCGUCGCUUCUCUGAUUUCGAACAUAGUUUACCGACACCAACAACAUAGGCGUUAGGCAACUGUGUCCCCCAAGCUUUAAACAUAUGGAAAUCUUGUGCUUGACUAUGCCUUUGUUUACUCGUAAAAUAGUACAGUUGAAUUUAUACGUGGUUUCUAGACAAGUGAACUAAUUUGAUCCUGAAACAAUGCAAUAAUUGAAGAAAUGUACAAUACUUAGCCUUAAUAUGUAGAUGAAACAUCAUAGAUGACAGUUCCGGGAAUAAGGUUUCCAGGCACAAAAAUGAUGAGAUCAAAAAGCAAAAAAGUAAGAUUGUAUUAAGCUUUGUAUAGAAUGUGGUGUAAGUUUUGCCAGAAAAUUCGUGUCCUCUCAAAUGAUAACCCCGCUCACUGUUUAUAGUUGUGUCUAGGAAAGGAGUUCUUAGGAGCAUGCCCUCCUUAAUGUCAAUUAUGAGGGUCAUUAAUGAAGAUGUAACGGUGAAUAUUAUGCCAAAUUCUCUGUAACGGGCCGUCGCUCUUAAUGCUGUAGAAUAUUCCUUAUUAAACGCUACCGAGCGCAGAGCAUUUAAUACACCUUUAAGAACGUUAUCCCUCCCGGUGACAAGUGGAAUGGCUGUGUUCGGUCUUCGGCCAUCCCCGUCUAGGGUUCCACGUGUCUUUCCUUUAGAUGACCACAUGUCAUAUCAUAUUUCACCAUAUAAAGAUAGUCUCACUGCUCUUCGGUGACAUAACUUUGUGUUAUCGGGAAGUUGGUAGAAACACUCUUUUGGCGGGAUUUACUAGAACUCCCUCUGAAAGCUUCUGACGAUUGAUUAGACGCACGUCUCUCCGCAUUUAAUGCCCCGAACACGCGUUAUUCCACGAUUCAGCACAACUUUUGCCGAUUAUCGAGGUAAUCAUGCCAUGAAUUUAGCCGCCAAAUUUUUACUUAUACGCAUCAUUCUUUUCCUUUGCACUUCAUAAUUUCUUGAACUUCUGAUUUGCAUCUUUGUUCUCCAUCCUUUCUAUAAUUCUCUUCAAACAAAAACCUUUUCCUUUUUCUUAUUCAACGGCUUCUUCCUCCAAGCGUGCCUGUUCUUCAAAGAUUAAGAACAAAGUCAAGGACUCUGCUCCUCCAACGGUGGGUUCUAUCAUCCCAAGGAGACUCAGUACCACAAAGGACUUAGAAGAGAUAUUCCCUACUGAUAACCCUCGUACAUGGGCUGUUAGUAGGUACCCUUAUUCCAUUCAUCCUUCCAGUAUUCCUGCUGUGAAGGAAGACUAUCGCUGCCAUGAGUUGGAUAUCAUUGCUCCUGCUCUAUCGGAGAGAGUGACCCUUCCCAAGGAAGGUUUUACAUACUUUUACACGUAUCCCUUUACUUUGGGGGCGUUUUCUUUGAGUGGAGAGCUUGAUUCCGUGAUUGCGGAGUUUUACCUUCGCUACCAGGUGUGUUUGGCACAGGUAAGUCCUUCAGUGUGGAGGACGGUCGCAUGCCUUCGACGGUUGUGCCAGUAGACUGGAGAGGAGCUAACCUUAGCUCAUAUGAUGAGUCUUUAUUCUCCCAAAAUCUUUCGCGGGGGAAUGAUAAACCUUUGCAAGCGUGGCCACCAUGUUUUGCUGUCUACAUGGAUGAUGACAACGACCAUGGGUGGAUGGAACGGUUCAUUGCAGUCGCCACCAAUGACAUCAUUCCGUAAACGGUUUCAUCCUUUCUGGCCGCUUGGAACCGCACUCGUAAGCUCUUUGUUUAGUUUUUCCUUUUACUAAAUACUUUUCUAUAGUCGUAUUGAUCCUCCAUCCUUUGUUUGUUUCAGCAACUCGAUGGAUCCCACUGGUGAUGGAAGGCUUGGACAGGUGGGUUCAAAAGAUCUUGGACGUCACGACGCCCGAAACUCGUUUGUGGAAAGAACUAGCCCUUAAAUAUGGGUGGAAGGCCAAAAAUUAUGGUAAUUUUAACUUACCUUGCUUCCAUGUUUUUUUUGUAUAAGGAGAACUUGGUUGAACCCAUCUGACUUGUUCACAAAAUUAGGUCUACUUGCGGGCUCCAUUGUUGUCCCCGAGGAGGAUGUCUUGGAGGAUCUUGCUGAGAGCUGAUAAGUGGAGAUUUUGACUACUUAUUGUCAUGCCCCGAACUCGGGGGGGCGCGACCGGCGCUUAACCGAGUGAACCCGGCCGAGCAAGCCUGUUAUAUUUCCUUCUACCCAAACUCAUCCAUGAAUAAAGAGGAGAUGCACUUCAUUAAUCAAAUACUGAAAAGAUUUCAUUAACAACUCCCAUUUAAUUUCCAUUAGCAGCUUCCUUCAUAAUUUCCAAAAUAUUACAAGUUUAUAGAUAUAAUGAAAAAUAUGUCUUCCAAAUACCAACACUUCUAGUUCAAUUCCCAACAACAAACACCACCCACAACCUGUCUACGGAGCCUCUAAGUACAAUAGAAGAGUAAGAUGGAAGUGCCGGCAACAAGGCCCCGGCUAUACCUCAAAAUAAAAAGUACAACAUCAAAUGAUAUCAGGCCUAGAAUAGAGUAGGGCUCACCAAAACCUGCUGAAUAGGGAGUAACUGCUAACGAGGACCAAAGUUCCCCGCUGAUGAACCACCUGCAUCCAUUGAAGAUGCAGCACCUCGGCAAAAAAGGACGUUAGUACAUAUGGAAUAGUACUAGUAUGUAAAGCUAACUGUCCUCUUUCAAAAUAGAAUGCCAAUGUAAGAAAGGGAAAAACGUAGAAACAGCAAGUCACAAUCAAUGAUAUCUAAAUGCCAAGUUAAAACAUAAUAAUUUUCAAAAUACGAAGAUAAUAUUAUUUUUGGUUAGGAGAUCUUUAGCACCGAUAUACCACUAUUCACAAUACCACCGUACUUUUAUCACGGAGUCCGAUCACGACCCGACCGGCUAGGCCGUCUCAUCCGAGACAUCAACCAUAGUCACAAUCUUGAUCAUAAUUUCAAUUGCAAUUUCCAGCAUAAUUACCGCCAUGUGUGCCGCAUGGCGUCCGAUCACGACCCCCGAUCGGCUAGGCCAUCUCAUCACAAAGGCGUAUGGAUUGGCAUCAUCCUCUUCUAUCAAUCAUCUCAUCCCAAUUAAGGGGAAUAAUGUUAUCAUAUCAAUCUCAUCCCAAAUAAGGUAAAUGAUCACAAUCCACUCCUACACCGGCACAUGUAGUUUCAGGAUUAGGUUAUUUCAACCUACCCUUCCUCGGUGACUAUCGAUACUCCCAAAAACAUUUUUUAUUUGCAUACAAAGGAAACAGCAAUACAACUGCAUUUACCUCAUAACCUUUCACACCAUUUAUAGCUUCAUUGGCAUUUCCAUCCACUUACAACAUCAUUAUUUCAUUGGCUCUCUUGGCCAUACAUAUGAUUCUUCAUUCAUGGAACAAUGGCUGUAUUUCAUAUUCCACAUUUUUAUUUCUUUCCUUUCAUGGAUCAUCAUCAUAAAUAUCAACAUAUAUAAUAUUCCGAAAAUCACAAUUUUAAGUUCAUUAGAAAUGAAGAAUUUAAGCACAAUAGAUUCCUUUCCAAGAAAUUGAGUAAAAUGAUCGGCAAUCGAUGCGCANNNNNNNNNNNNNNNNNNNNNNNNNGAAGAUCUAUGUAUUUUAUGAAGGAAUUGAUGGAAUGAAACACAAAGUUAGUAGGGAUUACUCACCUUGAAGAUGGGGGCAGUUGGAGGUCUUGAGAGAGUGGAGGAAAACCCCAAAAUUCGGCCAAGAGAAAUGGGGUAAAAUGAACCCUAAAUGAGUAUAUAGUGUUUGGGGCACCACAUAUAGCGUGGGGAUCUGCCUGUGGCGCUGGUUCCAGAACCUCAAGAUUCCCAGCACCAGGGAUAGCGCCCCACGCUACCCUGGGCACUGGCGAUGGGAAAUCAUUUCUAUUUCUCCCGAAAAUUGGCAUAACUCUCUCAUACGAUGUCCGAAUUUGACGAUUCUUUUUGUUAUGGCUCCGUAAUUUCCAUACGGAUCUAAUGCUUUAAUCAAAACUGAAUUUGGAGCUCAUUUGCUUAAUGUGAUACCACUUAUGCUUGAAGAAACGACGACGAAACAUCCUAGAAAUAUCCAAAUUAAAUUACGGACAUAUGCCCGAGUACAAAAUCAUCAUCCGGACCUAACGGAAUUGUCAAACCUCUGAUCCAAGGUCGAAUACAAAAAAAUUAAACUUGAUCAUAAUACAUCAUUUGAAGCUACUUAAUACUUCAAAUAGUUGAGAGGAGAGUAAAUGUUCAAAACAACAAGUCGGGUCGUUACACUUAUUAGCGUCUUUUAGCUUUUAUUUUAGUCUAAAAGCAUUGAAUUACAUUUCCGAAACUAAUGAAAUGUAAAAAAUUACAGGAAUGCGGGAAGUUAGACUCCUGAGAUGCAAUCCGGCUCAAAGAGGAGAAGUCCAAGCACAAGGCAACAAAAGGGCACAGAAGCAUACAAAGUGCGGUCCGCAGAAGUAAUUCUGUGGCCGCAGAAGCAAUUGCGGAUCACAGAAUUCCACCUGCAGUCUCAAACAAAGAAGCAAAAUUCAGAAGAUAUUUGUGCGAAUUGCGGACCGCACAUGAAUUGUGCGGCUGCAAGAGCUGAGCUAGGACUCAAGUUCAGAGAGUGUGCAAAUUUCCAAGUCCCAAGUCCCUGUGAAUUGCUGACCGCACAAGAAUUGUGCGGUCGCAGACAUAAAUGUUCAGACCGCAGAAGACUGGAUUGCGACCGCAGACAUAAUUAGUAGACCGCAAAAAUGUUGCCUCGCGGCCGCAACUCAUAAUUGUACGGCCGUAGAAUCCCAGCCCCUGCCAGAUGAAGAAGUCUAUGGACUACACAUGGAAUUGUGCGGCCGCAGAACCUCCCGAGGGAAAAUUUUUGUUCGAGAUUUUCAGAUUUAUAUAAAUAGAAGAGUUUCACGAAAUUAGGUCAAGUUUUGACAUCAGCAAUUACCGUAGCCGUUUUUCUUUGCCUCUUUUGGAAGUUUACUAUAUUUUGGUGUAUUUUACAAUAGAUUUGAUUAUUUUAAGCUUACAUUAUAAGUUUAAUUAGUCUUUCUUCUUUUUCUUUUUCAAACCCAAGCAUGAGUAGCUAGAUUUUUACUAGGGUUGUGACUGAACCCUAGUGUGUUAACCUUAUGGGUAAUUAAAUUAGUGAUUGUUUAUGAUUUGGUAUAUGUUAUUUAGCCUAGUUCAUGCUUUAAUUUGUGGAAUUAAUGGUUGCAAACAUUAGUUCAUGUCUAUUUGACUUAGUCUAUAAUUGAGAAAGAGAGACUUAGUCUGGAAAAACUUGGGUAACAAGGAAUUGGGUCAAUCGAGAGAUUGAUUAACCCAAUUAAAGGGUUCAACCUAGAAAUAGUAAUAACCCGACUUGAGCUUUUAUCAACUUUUGUGUGAUACCCAUUUGGUCUUGAGAAAGCCAAAUUGGGCAAAACCACUCUCUGACCGAGAGGUAUUGAGUGGGUAAUUGAGAGUUGAUAGCUAUAACACACCUCGUCCAACAAAAUAAGCAUUAAGAUCUUUAUCCCAUUAGGCAAACUCCUAGGUAAUGGUCACAACUCUAGGCUUUUUAUCAAUUUGAAAAACCCCCAAAAACAAUCAUCUCUAGUUUUCUUUCUUUAAUUUGCAAUCAAUAGAGUAAAAAUUAGAAAUAGAAAAUCAAUCUUUUGUGGAAGUGAAAUCUUGAUAAUUCAAUCACGCGCAUUAAGAUAUAUACCCCUAACUCCCAUUCUUAGCUCCCUAUGGAUUCGACCCCGACUCUUAGUUGGAUUUUAUUAUUGCAAAUGACCGUUUCAUACCUCUUUUUAGGUGUGCUAUUGGACGCGAUCAAUUUUUUGCGCCGUUGCCGGGGAGUUUAAAACGGUGUUAGCUAUAUAUUUGGGUGUGUUUUUAAAGUAUCUUAUUUUCCUUCCGUGUUACUAAUUUGUUUGAGAAAUCGUAGGUACAACCAUGGCAAACAAAGAGCUCGGAAAUAUUGCUUUGGGGGAUGUAGACAUUGAGGAUGACCAAGUGGAUGAGGUUCCUCUUGAACCUCAAGCCAAUAGAAGAGGUCGAGUGGCUUAUGACAAUGUGCCCUUCCCACCCCCACCUCCACCACGAGCGGCUCCACACCGGGUGUUACCUAAUGAAGGAUAUGCAAGUGCAAUAGUCCUUUCCCGUAUUUGGGCAGGCAACUUUCAAAUCACCAACAUGAUGUUCACUUUGCUAGAGCAACGAGGUUUCUUCAUCGGUGCUCCAAGGCAAAAUGCAUACAAACAUUUGAAGUGAUUUGUGGAUACGUGUUGGGGGAGCAAGCAAAUAAAUGUCUCUGUGGAUGCUUUGAGGCUAAGGAUUUUUCCCUUCUAUCUACAGGGGAAAGCCUUAGAUUGGUUGGAAUGUUUGCCGAACCAUUCCAUUCACACUUGGGAUGAAUUGGUGGAAAAGAUUAUUUCUAAGUUCCUCUCUCCGGGGCACAUGGCUACACUUCGGGAUGAGAUUCUAGCAUUCAAGAAAGAGCCCAAUGAACCACAACACGAGAUAUGGGAGUGAUAUAGAACAAUGGUCAAGGAAUAUCCCAACAACGAUAUGACGGAAAAUAUGAUUCGACAAACCUUCUAUCGUGAGAUUAACACGACCAACCAAUGUGUGGUGAAUCAACUUGCCAGUGGAAAUUUUAUGACUACGCCUUAUGCGGAGGCGUGUGAGAUUUUAGAUGAAAUGGCGGAAACAUCAUCGGCGUGGCAAUCCUGGGCUAAUGUUCCACAAGGUGAUCCCAACGUGAUUCACCUCCACAAAGAGUUGCAUGACCAUGGGCAAUCCAUAGAAGAAUUGACUACCACCAUGAAUCAACUAGCAAAGGCUCAACUUCAACAAGUGCAACAUCCCAGGCAAGUCAAUGCCAUGGAGGGAGUAAACAUGAUGGUGAACAACCGAAAAACCAAGGGUCCACAAGAGCAACAACGAGUGGACAAUUUUGUACAAGAAGAUAGUGGGUUUGAUCAAGAUGAUUAUUACAAUGAACAAGAGGAGGAUGUGCUGCAAUAUGUGAACAACUUUAAAGGGCAAUAAAAUAAUUUCCAAGGCCCAAAUCAACAACAAUGGCGACCUCAAAAUAAUCAAGACAAUUGGAAUUCUACCAACCAAGGUAAUUGGAGUGGUGGAAACAAUCAAGGGAAUUGGCAUAAUAACAAUCAAAGAAAUUGGAAUGGUAAUAAUCAAGAAAAUUGGAUAGGUAAAAAUCAAGGCGGAUAGAACAAUAACCAAGGCAAACGGGGGUCGGGUUUUCAAAGGCCCCCGAUGUAUCAACAACCGAGCAACCCGUCUCCUUAUCCUUCCCAUGGUCCUAGUUCUUCCAAUAAUGAAAUGGGGCGUAUUGAGAACAUGUUCAAGCAAAUGAUGGAAAAGAAUGUCGAUUCGGAUGCCCAACUUGCCUCACCCAACACAUUGAUCGGCAAUUUAGAGGUGCAAAUAAGGCAAAUCUCUCAAGCUCUCAAUUCUCGUCCUAAGGGGGCACUACCAAGUGACACGGUGGUGAACCCAAAGGGUGGGAACAACAUGGGGCAUUCCAUAGCCGUGACUACAAAAAGCGGAAAAAGUGGGAAUUCACCCACCUCAAUUCAAAGGCAACUUGUGGAUGAUGAGCAAGUGGUACAAGAAGAAGAGGUCCCAAAUGAUGUGGUGCAAACAAAUGAUGAGAUUUAGAUUGCUAUUGAUGAUAAUGUGGAAGUGACUCAAGAGAAUGUGAACCCUUCUAGGGAUCACGUUAUUGACAUACUGGAACCGGUAGUGUAAAAGGCUAAGGCACCAUUGCCUAAGACUCCGCCUCCAUAUCCUCAAAGGCUCGCCAAGCAAAAUGGCGAGAAUCAAUUCAAAAUGUUCAUUCAAAUGAUGAAGAGUCUCUCAAUCAAUGUGCCAUUAGUUGAGGCUUUAGAACAAAUGCAUGGUUAUGCAAAGUUUAUGAAGGAUCUUGUGACAAAGAAGCGGUCAAUGAAUUUUGAAACUAUCAAGGUCACUCAUAAAGUGAGUGCAAUUGUGCUUUCAAUGACUCCUAAAUUGGAAGAUCCCGAUGCGUUCAAGAUUUCUUGUACAAUUGGAAGAGCUGAGUUUGCUAAAGCUCUUUGUGAUCUCGAUGCAAGUAUCAAUUUGAUGACCCUAUUCGAUUUUCAAGACCUAGGGAAUUGGGCAACCAAGACCCACAUCUAUGAGAUUGCAAAUGGCUGAUCGUACAAUGAAGAGACCGUUGGGAGUGAUUGAAGAUGUAUUGGUUCGUGUUGAUAAAUUCAUUCUUUCAGCGGAUUUUGUCAUUCUUGAUUGUGAAGUGGAUUAUGAGGUGUCGAUUAUUCUUGAAAGACCUUUCCUUGCUACGGGGAAGGCUCUUUAUGAUGUGGAGGCCGGAGAACUCACCUUCCGGGUGGGUGAUGAAAAAGUGGUAUUCCAUGUGUGCAAAUCCAUAUGGAAACCAAAUAGCAACGAGGUGUGUUCUUUUGUGGACUUGGUGAUCGAUGUUAUUGUUGAUGAUACAAGUGCCACAAUCAAUGUUGGUGAUAUGUUGGAGGCCGUCUUGCUCAAUUUUUAUGAUGACGAGAUGGAUGUCUUCAUGGAAUGUGUGAACUCUUUGCAAGGAAUGGGGUCGUACAAUUAUGCACCUCGAAAACUAUCUUUGGACCUUGAAAAUAGGAAAAAUCCUCCUACAAAGCCUUCCAUUGAAGAGCCUCCUACCGUGGAGUUGAAGCCAUUGCCUCCACAUCUUCGGUAUGAAUUUCUUGGCCCUUGUUAUACUUUGUCGGUUAUUCUUUCUUCUUGUUUGACUAAUAUCCAGGUAGAUUCUACAUUGACGGUGCUACAUAAGAGGAAGAAGGCCAUUGGGUGGACACUGGCGGAUAUUCGGGGAAUACGCCCCGUAUUUUGCAUGCACAAGAUCAACUUGGAGGAAGACGCCAAACCAUUUAUUGAACAUCAAAGGAGACUCAAUGAGGCUAUGCAAGAGGUUGUAAAAAGGAGAUCAUCAAGUGGUUGGAUGCCGGGGUUGUUUACCCCAUUUUCGAUAGUUCGUGGACUUCUCUAGUUCAAUCUUUCCCAAAAAAAGGGGCCAUGACGGUGGUCACUAAUGACAAGAAUGAGUUUAUUCCUACAAGAAUGGUGACCGGUUGGAGAGUGUGUAUGGACUAUCGCAAGCUCAACAAAGUCACAGGGAAGGUUCAUUUUCCACUUCUCUUCCUUGACCAAAUGCUUGAUAGGUUAGCCGGCCGUACUUUCUGUUGCGUUCUUGAUGGAUAUUCGGGCUAUAACCAAAUCCUUAUUGCUCCAGAGGAUCAAGAGAAAACAACCUUUACAUGUCCCUAUGGUACUUUCGCCUUCAAGCGGAUGCCAUUUGGUUUAUGUAAUGCACCGGCAACUUUUCAUAGGUAUAUGAUGGCUAUCUUCACGGACAUGGUGGAGGACUACCUUGAAGUUUUCAUGGAUGACUUCUCGGUGGUUAGGGAUUCCUUUGAUGAUUGUCUUGAAAAUUUGGAUAAAGUGUUGGCAAGGUGUGAAGAAAUGAAUUUGGUGCUAAAUUAGGAGAAAUGUCAUUUCAUGGACGAGAAAGGCAUUGUCCUUGGCCACAAGAUCUCAAAGAAUGGAAUUGAAGUUGACAAGGCAAAGAUUGAGGUGAUUUCUAAACUUUCACCUCCAAUGUCGGUGAAAGGUAUGCGGAGUUUCUUAGGCCACGCAGGGUUUUACUGGCGCUUCAUCAAAGAUUUCUCUAAAAUUAUGAACCCUUUGUGCAAACUUCUUGAGAAAGAUGCAAAGUUUAACUUCAACGAUGAUUUCAUGAGAGCCUUUGAAUUGUUAAAGUUCAAGUUGACAACUACCCACAUCAUCAUCGCUCCAAAUUGGAGUGUCCCCUUUGAACUCAUGUGUGAUGCUAGUGACGUAGCGGUUGGAGCUAUUUUGGGGCAACACAUCAACAAGAUAUUGCAUCUGGUCUACUAUGCUAGUAAGACCAUAAAUGGUGCCCAAGUCAACUAUACCGUUACGGAGAAAGAGCUCAUUUCCAUUGUGUUUUCCUUUGAGAAGUUCCGCCUGUACUUGAUGGGUGCAAAAUUUAUUGUCCACACGGAUCAUGUGGCACUUCGUUAUCUUAUGAGCAAGGAAGAUUCCAAAGCUCGGUUGAUGAGAUGGGUGCUUUUGUUGCAAGAGUUUGAUAUUGACAUCCAAGAUAGAAAAGGGAGUGAAAAUCAAGUGGCGGACCACUUGUCUCGUUUGGAGGAGGAGGGGANNNNNNNNNNNNNNNNNNNNNNNNNAUCAAUGACUCCUUCCCCGAUGAGCAACUCUUGGCUAUUUCAAUGAAGGAGGUGUCAUGGUUCGCGGAUCUAGAAAAUUUCCUUAUGUGUGGAAUCAUCUCGGGUGAGUUCUCUUCAAACCAAAGAAAGAAGUGCAAACGGGAUUGUCAAUAGUAUUAUAGGGAUGAACCAUACCUUUUCCAGAUUUACACGGAUGGGAUGAUUAGAAGAUGUGUACCGGAAGAAGAACAAGGUUAAAUUCUUGGAGCUUGUCAUUCUUCGCCGUAUGGUGGUCACCAUGGUGGGGCAAGAACAGCGGCCAAAGUUUUAAGUUGCGGUCUCUAUUGGCCCACUCUUUACAAGGAUGCAAGUGAUGUAGUGAAAAGAUGUGAUGAAUGUCAACGGGCCGGUGGAAUCUCGAAGAAGAAUGAAUUGCCUCUCACUACCAUUUUGGAGAUUGAUAUCUUUGAUGUGUGGGGUGGUCCUUUUGUGAGUUCUUGUGGAAACACCUACAUCUUGGUCGCAUUUGAUUAUAUGUCUAAAUGAGUUGAGGCCAUUUCUCUACCCAACAAUGAGGCGAGAAGUGUGGUGGUGUUCUUAAAGAAGAAUAUUUCCACAAGGUUUGGUACUCCGAGGGCUAUCAUAAGCGAUGAGGGGUCGCAUUUUUGCAAAAAGACUUUUGACACUUUACUUAGCAUGUAUUGUGUUACUCAUAAAGUCACGACUCCUUAUCAUCCACAAGAAAGCGGUCAAGUGGAAGUCUCCAACUGGGAGAUAAAGAGUAUUUUGUCCAAAAUAGUGAAUGCUAAUCGGACGGAUUGGUCCAACAAGCUUGAGGAUACAUUAUGGGCUUAUCGUACGGCUUACAAAACACCUAUCGGAAUGUCGCCAUCCCGGUUGGGGUUCGGAAAAGCUUGUCAUCUUCCGGUGGAACUUGAGCACAAAGCCAUGUGGGCUCUAAAGAAGUUGAAUCUUGAUUGGGAUGUAGCUGCUAACUUGAGGGUUGCACAUUUGAAUGAAAUGGAUGAGUUCUGCUAUCAUGCUUAUGCAAGUUCGCCCUUGUACAAAGAAAAGAUGAAAUAUCUUCAUGACAAAUACAUUUGGAACAAAGAGUUCAAGGUGGGUGAUCUUGUAUUGUUGUUCAACUCAUGGUUGAGGAUGUUUCCCAGAAAGCUAAAGUCUAAAUCGAGUGGUCAUUUAGAAAUUAUGGGUAUGACACAUUUUGGUGCAUUGGACUUGAAGAACAAAAACAAUGAGGUAUUCCGAGUCAAUGGUCACCGGGUGAAGCACUAUUUGGAAAAAGUUGGAGAUGGCCACGUCGUGGCAGUGAUUCAUUUCAACUGAUAGUAGUAUGCAUCGUGUCGCGACGUUAAAUCAGGCGCUUCUUGGGAGGAAACCCAUGUUUCUUUUUCUUUUCUUUGUUUCUUUUGCAGUUAGGUGUUAUUUUUAUGCUAACUUGAUUUGAAGUAUACUGCAGGGAUGAGUGUGCUUUACAGGAAUUGUGGAUAGAAAUUUGGUUUUAAGUGUUGAAAGAAUUGCGAACCGCAGUUGCAUUGUGCGGGCCGCACAAUUAUGAUUGAUGCAGCAAAAUUGUAUUGCGGCCGCACAAUUAACCUGCGGACCGCACAACUGGAAGAUGAAAAAUGACAACUCUCUGAAGUUGGUCCGUCAGAAAAAUGGCUUAUCUGUGGCCGUAACACACAAUCUUCGGUCCGCACAUUUGAUCUGCGGUCGCACACAAAAAUUUACGGACCGCAAAAUAAAAUAGCAUUUAAGCCCCCAGGUUGUUGAGUGCGGACUGCAAUUGGAAUUCUACGGCUGCACUCGCUUCUCCUUCCCUUGUCAAAAAUCAAUAGGUAUAAAUAGAGGGGCUAGGGCCACUGUUCUCCUUUUCCCUCUUUGAGCACACAACGGGUAUUUUUUUGAAAUCUCUUGUUAAAUCAUCUACCCACACGUCUACAACUGUUGAUCACUCAUUUCUUCACACUCAUUCAUUUGGUAUGUUUCACAAUCUUGUUAAUCUUUUUCAUUUAACUUUUAGAUUUUUAGUAAAAUUUUAGGCCAUUUGUUUGUUGAAUUUGAUUGUACAUACUUGUGGGGGUAAAUAUGUAGUGGGUCAACUAGUACUUGUUAAUUGGGAACUCGGUAAAUGUAUUUUCAUGAUUUGAUGUUGUUUCCAUGUCAAAAUUUGUGCAAAAAAUUGCAUGCCCUAGAUAAAAUUGUCGAACUGUUCGUAAUUGUUGGAAUCUGCGGCCGCACAAGAAAUUGUGUGGUCCGCAGAAGUUGAUUCUAAGUAAGUUUAAUUAAGGAUGAGUCUACGUCCUCAAGGAAAAUUGUGCCGACUGUAGAAUUUCCAUUGCGACCGCAAAAACAUCUCUUUUCCUGUCUUCAAAGAAGGGUGAUAUUUGUGAUUUAAUGUGCAGCUGCAAGACAAAAUGUGUAGUCCGCAAAAAAUAUGUUGCGGUCGCAAAACAACCAAUUCUUUGUUAUCAGAGAGUUGGCAUAUUUGUGGUAUCUGUGUUGCGGCCGCAAGACAAAAUGUGCGGACCGUAAUCCAAAUCUGCGGCCGCAAAAGAAAAUUGUGCGGUCCGCAAGGCCCUUUAUGCGGCCGCAAUGAGAAAUGUGCGGACCGCAAAUCCCUACCCUGCAAGCAUGUUUCAACUGUGUUCCUCACUGUAUUUUCUGGUGUGUCCUUACAUUCAUUGUAUGUCUGAACUUGAAUUGUAGCUAACAAUCGCCUUUGCUUGGUACAGAAAAUGGUUCGAUCUAGAGAAAGAGGCGACACUUCGAAAGGAAGGGGUGACCCUUCUCGGGGAUGAGCUAAGAGACCCUUACCUAGUGCCCAGCAGCAUGAAAUCAGAAAGUAAAUAGCAGCCGGGAGAGGUGCAGACCUUUCCGAGACCAGUUCUUAUAUCCCAUUUAGGGAAGCAUCACAGGGAAACUCAGCCUUUGUACAUGAGCAGACGACUGUCCCGUCAAGGUCGCCAGGGAGGUAUCAACUCAAGGACGAGAUGUCAUCAUCACACAGCACUUUCGAGGGUUCGAAAAGUGCUAGUCAGGCUUCUGAGCCUUCCACUACACUUGUCCCUGAGGCACCAGAGACAUCAGUUCAGGACAUCCCCGAUGAUGGGAGGGGGAGAUGCUACAAUUGCCAGACUAGAAAGGUCGAAGAAGAAAGAGGUAUGGGAAGACAGGUUUGUCAGCUUGGCAAUUUUCUCGAGCUUCCGUGAUUGGUGGCCAAUGAGGUCGCUCACUCCUGAGCGACGGUUUCAGUAGAACGAUCUGGAGAAGUAUAACCCUGCAGUAUUGAUACAGUUUAAAGAAUGCAAAGGGUUGAUGUGGUUUACCUAGAGCGUGGUGGAUGCUAAGGAGUACCUUGUCCAGGAAUUCUACGCCAAUGUGGUACAUAUCAAGAAAGGGACAAAGAUGACGAAAGUGAGAAACCUCAAAGUGCGAUUUGAUCAGCACACAUUGAACACAUACUUGGGAUUUGAUGAUAUCGAGCCCAUAGAGUACUUAGAGAAAUGUGCACUUGGGGAUGCAGCUCGUCCUUGGCUAGCAGAGAUUAUAGCAGGUUCUGAACUACCACCACUGAUCACAAUAGGGGUUUCUAUUCACGGGAGUACUCUGAUCUUUGAAGCAAAGGGGUGGCAGACCUUUGUAUGCAGCAGACUGGACCCAUGCUAGAAUGAGACCUAUCUCCCGAUCCCUCGGGCAAUUCUAGUUGCGUCCAUCAUGGCCGAGUACUCUAGCAAUGUGGGAGCCGUGAUGUCGGCCAACAUCUCUGUGAUCUCUCGGCAAGCUGACACAUCCUACCUGUAUCCCAACACUAUUACAGAAUAUCUUACGGAUGCGAGGGUAGAGCCGAGGGACUUUGAUACAAAGGUGUGGCCGAAGAAACCUUUCACAUGGUACUCACGGAUGGAUGCACACAACCCUAAGAAAAAGGGUCAGUAGUCUAUCACCACAUGCCAGUUUGAUGAGCCAUCGGUGGUAGUUAUAGAGGCAGUUGAUAUUCCAUCCAUUUCGGCCUAGCAUUCAUCUAGUGCCACAGCUAUGCCUCUACCACCAUCUUCAGUUCCCAUUACAGUUCCUGCCACAGGUUCCACCUCGGCUUUGAAGCCGGUGCCCAUGCCUACUGCUUCACUUUCUGCGCUGCGAGUCUCCCAGACAUUGGCAAGCCUCAACUACUGGAUGCAGACAGCCACUGCAAAGUUUUCUAACUUAUCCAGUGCUAUUGCAAUGCAGUCUUCUAUUCCGGCACCUCAGAUGCCCCCAUCAACGGAAGAAAUAUUGAAGAAGCUCCUGAAACACCAGAACACCAUCAUGGCUACAUUGGUACAACAUGGGUCAGUGAUCGAAGAUUUGGGAAAAGAAGUAAAGAAGCUGAGAAAGUCCCAAGCCUCCAAGAAGUCAGUGGACAAGCUUCGGAGACAGGUUACCAAGUUUUCUGCAUCCGGAGGUAUUCCAUUUGACAUGCUGAUUGACCCACACCACCCAGGCCCAGAUCCUACAGCACCAACAACACCGGUGGCACCAGCUGGCCAGUCUGAGGAGCCAGACUCUGCUGCUGACACUGGAGAGGCAGUGCGUCAGAUGUUCACCAACCCAGUCACUCCCAGAGUUGAGGAUGAUGAGAUCCUGUUGGAAGAGACUGAGGGUGGUGACAUUGCUGGGGACACAGAGAUGUCCAAGGAGCCAUAGGGAGUCUUCUUCACUCUUUCCCUUCAUUUACUCUUAUUUUGUUAAGCAUUGGGGACAAUGCUUAAUUUUAUUCAGUGGGUGAAGUUUAUUUGAUCUUAUUUGAUGAUUCUGAGAUAUUUGUCUUGUAAUAACUUGAUACUAUUUUCUUCUUCUUCUCUCAUUAUGUAUAUAUCUUCUCUUUCUCCCUCAUUAUGUAUAUUCGAUAUAAUUUCGAUCGUUUUUACUUUGUAGCUUCUUUAUGUUUGUUUUCUUAUUAGUUAGUGUUUAUUUUAGUAGCUUCUUUUUAUGUUUUAGUAGAUAAUAAGCCUUAGGUUUUCUUAAUGCCAUGGUUCUUUCCAAAGGUAGUUUUUCUGUGAACCGGGUGACUCUUCCCAACGAUGGAUGGUGUGACAACCUUCUUAAGGGACUGAGUCUGUUUUUGGUCUUUAGGUAAUAAUAGUAGUAGUAAUGAAUAAAAAGACCUAAUUAAGUCAUGCUCGAAGAGUCAAACAUGCUUCAUUUGGCACCAACACACUUAACUACGUGCUUAUGGUUAGAAACAAGGUUUUUGGAAGAAAUAGCUCUAGUUAGUGACUUUGUGACUCUUGUGUNNNNNNNNNNNNNNNNNNNNNNNNNNNNNNNNNNNNNNNNNNNNNNNNNNNNNNNNNNNNNNNNNNNNNNNNNNNNNNNNNNNNNNNNNNNNNNNNNNNNNNNNNNNNNNNNNNNNNNNNNNNNNNNNNNNNNNNNNNNNNNNNNNNNNNNNNNNNNNNNNNNNNNNNNNNNNNNNNNNNNNNNNNNNNNNNNNNNNNNNNNNNNNNNNNNNNNNNNNNNNNNNNNNNNNNNNNNNNNNNNNNNNNNNNNNNNNNNNNNNNNNNNNNNNNNNNNNNNNNNNNNNNNNNNNNNNNNNNNNNNNNNNNNNNNNNNNNNNNNNNNNNNNNNNNNNNNNNNNNNNNNNNNNNNNNNNNNNNNNNNNNNNNNNNNNNNNNNNNNNNNNNNNNNNNNNNNNNNNNNNNNNNNNNNNNNNNNNNNNNNNNNNNNNNNNNNNNNNNNNNNNNNNNNNNNNNNNNNNNNNNNNNNNNNNNNNNNNNNNNNNNNNNNNNNNNNNNNNNNNNNNNNNNNNNNNNNNNNNNNNNNNNNNNNNNNNNNNNNNNNNNNNNNNNNNNNNNNNNNNNNNNNNNNNNNNNNNNNNNNNNNNNNNNNNNNNNNNNNNNNNNNNNNNNNNNNNNNNNNNNNNNNNNNNNNNNNNNNNNNNNNNNNNNNNNNNNNNNNNNNNNNNNNNNNNNNNNNNNNNNNNNNNNNNNNNNNNNNNNNNNNNNNNNNNNNNNNNNNNNNNNNNNNNNNNNNNNNNNNNNNNNNNNNNNNNNNNNNNNNNNNNNNNNNNNNNNNNNNNNNNNNNNNNNNNNNNNNNNNNNNNNNNNNNNNNNNNNNNNNNNNNNNNNNNNNNNNNNNNNNNNNNNNNNNNNNNNNNNNNNNNNNNNNNNNNNNNNNNNNNNNNNNNNNNNNNNNNNNNNNNNNNNNNNNNNNNNNNNNNNNNNNNNNNNNNNNNNNNNNNNNNNNNNNNNNNNNNNNNNNNNNNNNNNNNNNNNNNNNNNNNNNNNNNNNNNNNNNNNNNNNNNNNNNNNNNNNNNNNNNNNNNNNNNNNNNNNNNNNNNNNNNNNNNNNNNNGAUGAAAUGACCCUUUCACUUGUGGAGGUGGGAACUAAAUUGUUUGCUUGAGGACAAGUAAAGACUUAAGUUUGGUGGAGUUGAUAAGUGGGGAUUUUGACAACUUAUUAGCGCCUUUUACCUUUUGUUUUAGUAUAAAAGAAUUGAAUUGUGUUCCCGAAACUAAUGAAAUAUGCAAAAUUGCAGGAAUGCUGGAAGUUGGACUCCCGAGAUGAAAUCCGGCUGAAAGAGGAGAAGUCCAAGCACAAGACAACAAAAGGGCACAGAAGCAUACAAAGUGCAGUACGCAAAAGCAAUUGCGGAUCGCAUAAUUCCACCUGCGGCCGCAAAUAAAGAAGCGAAAUUCAGUAGAUAUUUGUGUGAAUUGCGGAACGCACAUGAAUUGAGCGGCCGCAAGACCUGGGCUAGGACUCAAGUUCAAAGAGUGUGCAAAUUUCUAAGUCCCAAGUCCCUGUAAAUUGCGGACCGUACAAGAAUUGUGCCGCUAAAGAAGAAGUGCCUUACGACCGAAGACAUAAAUGUGCGGACCUCAGAAUACUGGAUUGCGUCCACAAACAUAAUUUGUGGACCGCAAAAAUGUUGCCUCGCGGCCGCAACGCAGAAUUGUGUGGCCGCGAAAUCCCAGCCCCUGCCAGAUUAAGAAGUCUGCAGACCGCACAUGGAAUUGUACGGCCGCAGAACCUCCCGAGGUGUAUUUUUGUCAGAGAUUUUCAGACUUGUAUAAAUAGAAGAGUUUCACAAAAUUAGGUCAAGUUUUGACAUCAGCAAUUACUGUAGCCAUUUUUCUUUGCCUCUUUUAGAAGUUUACUAUAUUUUGGUGUAUUUUACAAUAGAUUUGAGUAUUUUAAGCUUACAUUAUGAGUUUAAUUAGUCUUUCUUCUUUUUAUUCUUAAUACCCAAGCAUGAGUAGCUAGAUUCUUACUAGGGUUGUGACCCAACCCUAGUGUGUCAACCUUAUGGGUAAUUAAAUUAGUGUUUGUUUAUGAAUGGGUGUUUGUUAUUUAGACUAGUUCAUGCUUUAAUUUGUGGAAUCAAUGGUUGCAAACAUUAGUUCGUGCCUAUUUGACUUAGUCUCUACUUGAGAAAGAGAGACUUAGUCUAGGAAAACUUGGCUAACAAGGAAUUGGGUCAAUCGAGUAAUUGAUUAACCCAAUUAAAGGUUUCAACCUAGAGAUAGUAAUAACCUGACUUGAGCUUUUAUCAACUAUUUUGUGUGAUACCCAUUUGGUCUUAAGAAAGCCAAAUUGGAAAAAAUCACUCUCUAAACGAGAGGUAUUGAGUGGGUAAUUGAGAGUUGAUAGCUAUAACACACCCCGACCAACAAAAUAAGCAUUAAGGUCUUUAUCACAUUAGGCAGACACCUAGGUAAUGGUUACAGCUCUAGGCUUUUAUCAAUUUGGAAAAUUCCCAAAAACAGUUAUCUCUAGUUUUCUAUAUUUAAUUUGCAAUCAAUAGAGUAAAAAUUAGAAAUUGAAAAUCAAUCUUUUGUGGAAGUGAAAUCUUGAUAAUUCAAUCACGCGCAUUAAGAUAUAUACCCCUAACUCCCAUUCUUAGCUCCCUGUGGAUUCGACCCCGACUCUUAGUUGAGUUUUAUUAUUAUAAACGACAGUUUCAUACCCCUUUUGAGGUAUGCUAUUGGACGCGAUCAGCAGUGAGGCUGCUUCAGGAGGCACUUACUCGAACAUGUAUCUCCGGGCCUGUUUUGGGCACAAACACUUCUUUACGGAGUCCCUGGCCGGAGAAAAGAAUAAGAGGGCAAAGAUUGAUGCCUCUGAGUCAUCUCCGGUGGCGAUGGUGAUUGGUCCUCCUUCCGGGUCAGUCAUAGACACUGUGAUGAUUGAUGAUGAUGAAGAAGCUAGUGAUAAGAGAGCUUCUCUACUUAGAAGACAACGAUCCUCAUCAUCUCAACAGGAUGUUCGACCUGUUGAGAGAGUUACACCAACCGAGGACGUUGCCUCGGCACUUUGGAGAGAGUUUGAUUUGGUAGAUAAUGUCAACUCCCAUUUUCGGGCCCUAAUUAUUGUGCCCGGUACUUAAGGGCUGAGUACCUGCUUCUUGCCGUCUUUGGUUGGCAAGCAUCCAACAACCAGUACUGCAUUUGAUGCAACUGCUUCUCAUUCUUCAAUUCCAUCAGCUUCAUCUCCAUCUUUACCAGUACCAGCAACUGCUACAUCAUUUUCAUCUCCAUCCACUCUUCCACCAGCAGUUGCUACAUCGCCUCCACCGGUCGUACCUGACCAUGAAAAGGGUGUUCCUCUUCCACAAUCCCCAGUUCAUGGGAAUUUGGGGCAAAAUUAUGCUGCCCCUUCUGAAGAUCCACAAAGGAGGAGGAGCGUUACUCUUUCGAUAUCUACCGGAUGCAGCUUGUUAUUCCGGUCGAUGGAGCUUGCUAAUUAUCUGAAGCCUUUGGCUUCAGAGAAAGACUGGGAAAAGAUUUAGGCACUCUCAGGAGAAUGUUUGUUGAACAACGCCAUGCACAAUGCCGCAGCGGUAUGUUCCUUUAUUCCUUUGUUAUUUCUUCUACUUUUGUAUCAAUGUAUUCUAAGUUUUACUUAUUCUUAUUUUGUAGGCCAACUUUCUUGCUUUUGAGGUCCUUCAGAGGUUGAUUAGUGAGAAGGAGGAACUUACUUCUGAACGGAAUCAACUUUUGAUGGAACGGGACCAAACUGUUAUCCGCCUCUCGGAACUGGAAACCAAAGCUACUGAGGUCGUUGUUUUUUAUGCUCGUUUACAGCAAAGCGAGCAAGAAGUGGUAACCCUUAGCCAAGAAAUUUUCCCGUUGAGGGUUAGAUUUGAUAAAGCCAAGGCCACAUGGGCUGAAGCUCAUGACGUCGUUCUUGCUGCAACUGAGCGCGAGGAUGCCUCCGCUGAAAGAGUGAUUAACUUAGAGACAACCUUGAACUCUAAAAUUGAAGCGCUUGCUGUUGUGGGAGCGGGGCCAAACACGCCCAGCUAGAAGAGAAGUACAAGAAAACUAUCGAGCAUAAUAGGCUCUUUAGUUCAACUGUCCGCGACCUUGAUGUCAGCCUCAAAUCUACUAGGUCCGCCCGGGAAAACCUUUCUGCCGAGGUAACCCAACUCAAAGAAGAACUCAAGCUCCGAGAAGCUUCCCCUCGUUGUUGAAAAAACUUACGCCAUGUACAGCAUGAGGAGAAAAAUCUUGGAACAGGCCAAAGUUGGUGUCAUUGACUUUGAUGCCGAAAUUGCUAAGGCACGCGAGCUUGAGUUAGCUGCUAAAAGUAAACUCCCAUCGAGGUCUGAUGUACCUGGUCCUUCUGGUUUUGGUUCCGAAUUUUCGGGAACUGAAGAAGAAUCGGAAGAUGAUGAUGCCAAAGGCCAAACUGAUGAAAAUGUUGAGCCACCGGUGGACCCACCUACUUCUCCCGGGGAUGCGGACACUUCACUUCCUCCUGGUUUCGGAGGCACUGCGGUUUAGAUUUUCUUUUCUUUUUCCCAUUUGGUAUUUUACCGUUUUGGCACGUUCUUGUAAAUAAAGACAUAUUUUUGCGCAAGUAUUGUUUGAGUCUUACUUUCAUUUGAAUAUCCAUGCAAGUCUUUAACCUUUGCAUUUGCUUAAGAAUUCUGUGCACGUUUUUCUGUUCGCGCUUUACUAUGUGUAGUCUCGGAUACAUUUUCCUCGAAACACUUUGGUUUCGAGCAUUAUUCCUUUUACGUGAGGGUUUCUAUAAGUAUUUGCGCAAGUUUAUUUUUUGCGUCCUUUUGUGUAUGUCUUUGGGUGCAUUUUUCCUCGAAGGCACUUUGAUUUCGGGCAUAAAUUCUUUCGAUACCAACCCUUUAACGUGAGGGUUUUCAUAAGAGGCUGCUCUCUUAUGUUUAGGGUGCUCUUGAAGAGGACGUCUCCUGUUCAUUACGGCACUAACAUUUGAAGUACUUGUUUAACUUUCAAAUGACAAAGUUAGUUUAUCGUGCAGACAAGUAACAAGAUAAAAAUAAAAGGAUUUCUUUUCAUAUAAUUCCUUCUAUUUUCAAAAGUACACAAGCAUUUAUUAUGCUAAGAAAUUGCCAUUACUUGUGGAUAUCUUUGUACAACUUGUCUAUACGGGGCUGGAUGCGCAGUCCCCGGUCUCGAUGAUGUAUUUGGUUUCCAGAUUUUCAGUUCCUGGUUGGCGUGGCAGUCAAUGUUGUCGUAUCCGCAUAUCAUUACCCCCCUCCCCCUCCCCCCCGCCAGUGUUCGAAUGCGAAGAAUGUGAAUUGGAACACUGGAAGUCUUAUGCCUUCAAAGAUCCCACCAAUGAAUUGCUAGAUAAUCCUUAACUCGGCAACAUACCUUACUUCCCCUUAGGAAUCCAUGCUAUCGAGCGAAAGAAUAUCUAACAAUCCUCUAGCAACUUGUGCUCGUGAACAGUCGGGUAACCUCUAUUCGGUAGCAAACUUAACUUCCCAGUGGGAAUUUGCUAUCGAACCAAAGAUUAUCUAACUGUCCCCGAGUGGAAGAUUAUUUGUUUGCCUUGCUCUCAAAGGACUUAUUGUUGUUGUCUUCGUAGUAUGCUUUCUAUCGCUGCCUCAUUAAAAACCUUGCCAGAAAAACCCAAUUGGGACAAAAACUGAACGAAGGGAAAAAGAGUGCAGCACAUACUUUCUGCUUUAGUAAUGUUUAUCAACAAUAAUAUCUUUUGAGGUGUGCCACGUUCCAGUUGCUAGGCAACUUGUCUCCACUCUGGUUCUCCAACUCGUAUGAACCUUUCCCAUGUUAAAGACCUCCCCACGUUGAACCUAGUUUCCCUGCGUUGAGCUCCCGAGUAUUUUGGGUUACUUUCUUCAUAACCAAAUCUCCUACUUUGAAAUAACGGAGGUUGGCUCUUCGAUUAUAAUAUUGCUCCAUUCUCUGCUUUUGAGUUGCCAUUCUUACACGCGCCAAGUCUCUGAGUUCCUCGAGCAGUUCCAAGUUGACUAACAUUGCUUCAUUGUUCGAUUCUUCAUCUGCCAGAAAAUAUCUCAAAGUGGGUUCGCCCACUUCCACUGGGAUUAGGGCUUCAGCAUCGUACACAAGGGAAAAAGGCAUUUCUCUUGUGCUCGAUUUGGCCGUUGUUCGGUAGGCCCAUAGAACUCCGGGAAAUUCUUUGGGCCAUUUGCCUUUUGCUGCUUCCAACCUUUUCUUGAUGUUUUGAAUAAUCACUUUGUUUGUUAACUCCGCUUAACCGUUUUUGCUCGGAUGAUAAGGAGAAGAUGUGAUCCUCUUUAUCUUCAAAUCUUCGAGGAACUUUGUAACUUUUGCACCGAUAAACUAUGGCCCAUUGUUGUAUUCUAUCUCUUUUGGUAUUCCGAACCUUCAAAUUAUAUUUUUCCACAAAAAAUCCACCACUUUGCGUUCUCUGAUAUUCUGAUAAGGACAUGUUUCUACCCAUUUAGAAAAAUAGUCAGUCAGAAUUAAAAGAAACCUUACCUUUUCGGGAGUCGGUGGCAGUGAUCCAACGAUGUCCAUCCCCCAUUUCAAGAACGGCCAUGGGGACAGAACCGAAUAUAAGAAUUCUACCGAUUGGUGUACUAGUGGUGCGUGGCAUUAGCACUUAUCACAUUUUUGUACGAAGUCUUUGGCGUCUUGUUCCAUGCGAAGCCAGUAAUAUCCUACCCGUACCAACUUCAGCACCAAAGAAUAUGCGCCCAAGUGAUUGUCGCAUAUCCAUUCGUGGACUUCUCUCAUGACAUAAUUAGCUUCUGAUGCUUAUAAGCACCGGGCCAGCGGGCCUUGGAAGGAUUUUCUAUACAAUUGGCCUCUCCUGAAGCUAUAACAUGCAGCUUUGACGUGUAACGCUCGUGAUGCUUUGGGGUCUUCGGGUAAAUUCCCAUGCUCGAGAUAGUCGUUUAUUUCAUUUCUCCAAUCGCAGACCAGACUAGUCGAAUUUACCUCACAGUAAGCAUUUGUAUCCAGGACUGAGUUCAUUAGUUGCAUUACCAUCCCGAACUCUGAUCCCUUUAUUUCCGUCGACGAUCCUAAUUUUUCUAAUGUAUCCACUUCUGCGUUAUCCUCCCUCAUGAUAUGAGUAAUUGACCAUUCCCAGAAUCGUGCCAAAAAAAGCCUGGACCUUUACCACGUAUUGUUGCAUACGUUCUUCUUUGGUAUCAAAGAUCCUAUAGACCUGAUUUACCACCAGCUGCGAGUCACAUUUGAUUUCAAUAACCUCGGAAACAAGUCCUCGGGCUAAUUCGAGCCCUGCAAUCAAAGCUUCGUAUUCUGCUUCAUUGUUAGUUAAAGGGAUCGUUUUGAUGGCUUGCCUUAAGGUUUCCCCCGAAGGCGUGAUUAAGACUAUUCUGAGUUCGAACUCUUUUACGUUGGAAGCUCUAUCCCUAAAUAAGGUCCAAACCCCCGAUGUCGAUUCUGACACCAUUACUGCCUUCUUGGUUGCCAGAGGCAGAAGUGCUGGACUGAAAUCGGCCACGAAGUCAGCUAAGACUUGUGACUUAAUUGCAAUCCUUGGUUUAUAUUCUAUGUCGAACUCACUCAUUUCGACGGCCCAUUUGUCCAAUAUACCCGAGAUCUGGGGUUUAUAGAGGAUGUUCCGCAAAGGAAAAGUAGCCACCACAGCUAUCGGGUGACAUUGAAAAUAGGGCCUCAACUUCCGAGUAGCGACUACGAGAGCUAAGGCUAGUUUUUACAAAUGUGGGUAGCGAGUUUUUGCUCUCGUUAAAAUUUUGCUAAUAUAACAAAUGGGAAAUUGCGUACCUUCAUCCUCUCGGACUAAAACUGCACUUACCGCAACUUCUGAAACUGCGAGGUAGACUAGCAAUCUUUCACCUUCUUUUGGUUUUGAGAGCAAUGGAGGGCUUGAUAAGUACUUCUCCAGGCCCCUUAGAUCCUGUUGGCACUCCGGUGUCCAUUCAAAAUUAUUUUUAUUUUUGAGCAGUGUGAAGAAGCGAUGACAUUUUUCCGACGACCGGGAAAUGAACCUGCUCAAAGCUGCUAAUCUUCUUGUGAGCAUUUGGACUUCUUUUACGUUCGACAACUGAUCCGGGAUAUCCUCUAUGGCCUUGAUUUUGUCGGGGUUCACCUCAAUUCCUCUUUGUGAGACCAGAAAUCCCAGAAACUUACAAGAACUGACCCCGAAUGCGCACUUCUCGGGAUUAAGUUUCAUGUUAUGCUUCCUCAGGAUGUAGAAUGUUUCUUGCAAAUGCUUAAGGUGGUUACCUGCAUUCAAAGACUUAACGAGCAUAUCGUCUAUAUAAACUUCCAUAUUCUUUCCUAUUUGCUUUUUAAACAUCUUAUUUACGAGCCGUUGAUAAGUGGCUCCGGCGUUUUUCAACCAGAAGGGCAUCACAUUGUAACAAUAUGUACCGAAAUUCGUUAUAAACGAAGUCUUUUCCUGAUAUUCCGGGUUCAUCUUGAUUUGGUUGUACCCGGAAUAAGCAUCGAGGAAACUCAUUAACUCAUGCAUGGCCGUGGCAUCAAUCAUUUGAUUGAUAUUUGACAGUGAGACCGAGUCUUUCGGGCACGCCUUAUUAAUGUCUUUAUAGUCUACACACAUGCAAAAUUUAUUGUUCUUCUUCGGAACUACUACUACAUUGGCUAGCCAGUCCGGAUAUCUUACCUCUCGGAUCGAACCGAUGUUAAGCAAGCAGGUUAUCUCUUCUUUGACGAAUGUAUUCCUGGCCUCAGCAAUAGGGCGUUUCUUUUGUCUUACUGGAGGUACGUUGGGAUCCAAACUCAGCUUGUGCACGGCUACUUCCGUCGGGAUACAUGUCAUAUCCUCGUGCGACCAUGCAAAACAAUCGGUAUUAAAUUUAAGGAAUUCAAUAAAACCAUACCUGAGCUCCGGGUGCAGUCAUGUCCCCAAAUGGAAUUUUCUUUCUAGGAAUUCUUCGAACAAUGCAACUUGCUCCAGUUCCUCCAUCGUGGACUUCGUUGUGUCCGUCUCUUAUGGAACUUGGAAAUAUCUCGGCACCUAAUAAUGUUCUGGCAACUCUGCUCCCGAGCUAACUUCUUCUAGCUCGGGAAUAGGUGUAGGUUCCUGUAAUUGCUAUGCCGUGUUCUCCUUCCCUUUGCUACUGGAAACAGAAAUUGCAUUCAUCUCUUUUGUUGCCGGUUGAUCACCUCUUAUCUGCUUGAUUCCUUCGGGCGUUGGAAACUUCAGCAAUUGGUGAUAUGUUGAGGGUACAGCUUCCAUCUCGUGUAACCAUGGCCUUCCUAGGAUGAUAUUGUAUCCCAUGUCACCGUCUAAUACUUCGAAAAGAGUUGUUUUCAUUACUCCUUCAGCAUUCGUGAGCAGCAAAAUCUUUCUUCUGGUCGUUACGCUCGCAAGGUUGAAUCUAGCGAGGAGCUUUGUUGCCGGAAUAAUGCUUCAGGUAAGUUUAGCUUGCUCCAAUACUCUCCAUUGUAUGAUAUUAGCCAAACUUCCUAGAUCCACUAGAACACGCUUAAUCUUAAAAUCCAACACAUUUAAAGAAAUUACCAGUGCAUCGUUGUGUGCUAACAGCAAUCCGUCUGUGUCCACCUCCGUGAAAGUGAUAUAGUCUUCCCGGAGUCUUUUACUAUAAGUUAUUGAUACUUUUGUCUUCUUCGCUGCCGAAAAGGUGACCCCGUUAAUCUCAUUCCCUCCGUAGAUCAUAUUGAUCGUUUGGUGUGAGGGUUCUUCUCUAGCUUUUGAAGGUUCCACGUUAUCUCUGUUAAGACCAUAAUUGUUCUUAACUCGGUCACUCAAGAAUCCUUCGAGGUGACCAUUAUUCAAUAGUGUUUCCACCUCUUCCCGGAGGUGUCGGCGAUCCCCUAUUCGGUGGCCAUUCGUCCCAUGGUAUUCACACCAUAAGUUGGGAUCCAUCUGGCUAGAAUCGGAUCUCAUAGGUCUCGGGAAUCGCGCUUCUUUGAUGUUUCUCAUGGCUGACACCAACUCCAUUAUACUGACGUUGAAGUUAUAUUCCGAUAACUUGGGGUAAGAAGGAUACCGAGACCCCGAUGUCUCUUUAUCCUGAAGUGAUCUGUUGUUUUGACCACGAUCGGUCCCUCUAUCAACGGUGAACUUGUUUGUUGCCUAGAAGUUUUUUCCACGGCCUUCGGUCCGCUCGUAAGGCAAAAACCGACCCCUUGAAGUCCAUUUGUCUGCAUCGUAGUCAUCCUUUGAUUUUUAUCUACUCUUCUCCCGUCCCUUGGCCGAUGAUGUAGAACCGACCUGGUCAUCUUCGAUCCUUAUCUUUGACUCGUACCGGUUGUGGACAUCUGCCCAAGUUGUUGCUUGAAACUCAAGCAGGCUCUCCUUCAGUUUUCGGGAAGCGUCUGAGCUUCUCGGAUUCAAUCCUUUGGUGAAUGUUUCAGCUACCUAUUCAUCCGGGACAGCCGAGUGCAACAUUCUUUCUUUCUGGAAUCGGGUAACGAACUCUCGUAAUAAUUCGGGUUCUCCCUGUGUGUUCCUGAAUAUGUCGGCCUUUCGGGCUUGUACUUUUCUAGGCCCGGCAUAAGCAUUGAUGAAAGAAUCCGCGAGCAUCUCAAAGGAAUCUAUGGAAUGCUCGGGUAAUAAUGAAUACCACGUUAGAUCUCCCCUCAUGAGAGUUUCUCCAAAUUUCUUCAACAACACACAUUCAAUUUCGUGAGGAGCUAAAUCAUUUCCUUUUAUCGCCGUUAUGUAGGUAGUAAUAUGCUCCUGUGGGUUUGAAGUCCCGUCAUACUUUGGCAUUUCAGGUAUUUUGAACCGCUUUGGGACUAGUUCUGGUGUCGCACUCGGCUUGUACGGCAAUUAAGUAUACUUCUUCAAGUCUGGGCCUCAAUACUGGUGAUGUGCCCGGGAUCUGUUCCAUGUGGGUGUUUACUUCCCUCAUAAACUGUAAAAGUUCAUUCUUGAACGGGUCGUUCUCGUUGUUGAGAUUGGGUCUGUUCCCCCAGCCCCGUCAGAGCCAACUUCACCUCUGGGAGUGUUGUUGUCGACUCUCUGCGUUGUUUGGUUUGCGGGAACACCGGGAGGAAUUGGAUCUCGUCUGUUUGCAUUAUUUGAAGCCCCCGAUAGCGCCUGCUUCAGCUCCGUCAUAACCUUAUCCUGCCACGUGGGAUGAACUAGAAUGAUUGUCGGUUGCUCUUGCAGGACCCUCACCGCAUCCACGACAUGUUCCUCAUCAGCAUCAUCGGGAGUUGUCUCCUGAACCUAUCGAGGGUUCUGCCUGUCAUGCACCGGGUGGCAUCAUUUCCCUCAUUGCGGGUGUCACUAAUUGAAUCCUCGAAAUGAGGUUGAUCCCCUCAAAUUUCAGGGUUGAACAUGUUGUUAAUAGAGUUAUCUGCCAUUUUGUGAUUUUUUCUAAGACAAAACAAUCAAAUCACGCUAGUAAAAAAGACAAGGAUCAAUUUAAUUGCACGGUUCUCUAGGUCCCACGGUGGGUGCCAAACUGUUUACCCGUAAAACAGUACAGUUGAAUUUAUACGUGGUUUCUAGAUGACAAUAUCUUUCCUUCUCAAUAGAUGAAACAACAGAGAUGACGAUAUCUUUCCUUCUCAAUAUUGUGGUGCAAGUGACGUUUCAAACUCUCAAGGACUUGAAAAAAAAACAUCAAAUGAUAAUCAUAAAGUCGAUUCAACCUUCUAGCAAUUGUUUCGAGCCAUGAACUGUGAAAAUUACCUAAGUUAAAAUAUCACUCUGAUUAAUUACAUAAGUAGUUUAUUUGCAUCCAAUUUACUAUUGAAGAAGAAAAGUAAAUUUUAAAUUAAUUAGAUAAGUCGUAAUUGACAAUACAUCAACCUUUAUAGAUGAAUACAAAGAACAGAGAAUGUAAUUCUUGUUGGAAGUAAGAAUUUUGAACUAAAAAAAGUUCUCCAUAUCUCCUAUCCUGCUAGAAUUUUCCAGUCCGAUUUCCAGUAACCGCGCCUUACCCUGUUUCCAUGUGUAGGGACGGCACCACAUAAUGGUUGUGUGUACACGGCAUACACACACCACUAGAUACGGACAUUUGAUAGGGGAGAAAACAUACUUGUUGCAUAGUUGCAUAACGUUAAAAGUGUGUCUCAACGUACCAUUCCCGAAUGCACUAAUGAGAAAUUUUCUUUAAACAUGUAGUUAAGAGUAAUAAUGAUGCAGUUAAGAGUAAGGUUUGUAGUGAAAAUAUCACUGACGCAAAUUCUUAAGACAUUUUUACAGAGCAGAAAACCCAUGCUCGAUAUUGGCAUGUGUACCUAAAAGUAAAUGGCUUAAGCUCACGAGUGCAAACAUGGAAUGGAAAAAGGAAAGAUUUGGUGCAUGCCACACUCAAAGCUGAUUAUAUAUCAAAUUGCCCGUGAUUCACUGGAUCAAACUACAAAUGCAACAGAAACCAACUUCUGAUGGCAUUUCGAAGAUACAAGUUAAAUCAGGGGUAUGUUCAUUCGAAUCAUCACAACCAAUAGGCAACCCAAUUUCUUUCUCCAGAUAUUCAAUUGCAUGAAGCUGAAAAUAAGUGAACAAGGAAACAAUACCAAGAUGAACAGAAUAGAGCUCUAUUAAAUUCACAGCUGAAACUAAACACACCAGAAAUCAACUUAGAGUGCAUUUGAAACCAAAAGGGAGAAAUUACUUCUACCAAAGGUAAUGGAAGGUGGAUGAAUCCAGCUUAGAAGUACACCCACUGCCUCAAACUUCAAUACGAUAUAUUACUACUCAAACUAAAUUAAGUUUUACUAAUAUGAAUCCUUCGCGUUCAUUCUGCUACAUCUGGACUCCUUUCAUUAACUACUCAAUAAUCUGUCCUUGGAUUUCUAAAAUUCGGGAUUCUCUAAGUAUCCCAUGUAUCCUCCAUCGUCCAAUCUAUAACCAAGUUUAAAACACUCCUGAUAAAUACCAGGGCCUAAUGUAAGUGUGCCAAUAACAAUUAACCUUAAUCCAAGUUAGUUCCUUUUGACAACAAGGAUACUUUGAUUACUGUUCCAUACUUACAAAGCAUAGCCUGUUUGGCCAAACUUCUAAAAUUAGUUUAUUUUGAGAAGUGUUUUUUUCAAAAGUACUUUUCAAAAAAUUAUUUUUGAUGAGAAGCAGUUUGUGUUUGGCUAAUUAAUUUGAAAAUCACUUUUGAACAGUAAUUAAUUUUUGACCAAGCUUUUGAAAACUACUUUUAAGUGUAUUUUUCUCAAAAGUAUUUAUCAGAAAAGUAUUUUUGGAGAGUGCUAUUUUUUUCUGUUUCUCAAAAACUGCUGGUUCUCAAAAAAGGCACUUUUUUCUAUCUAAAAGUUUUGGCCAGACAAUUUAUUUUUGGCCAAAAGUACUUUUGACCAAAAAAAAUUAAAACACUUUUGCCCAAAAAAAAAAAAACUUGGCCAAACAAACUAUUAAUGUGUAUGGAUUGAAAGAAAUUGUUCCAUGUAACUUUAAGACUACAUGUAUUAAUAAUAUACAUGUAUUUAUGCAUCAAAACUUCUAGAGAUGACUGUAUAUAGUAUACAUUAACAUGUGUAUCCACAGUCCACUAUACAGAUUCCUUUCUACAGUCGCAUGCUAAUCAAUAGAAAAUCCAUACACUCCCAGAUUAUACGCAGAGACAAAUUUUACAGAGCUGAAUAUCCAAAUGCAUUACUAAAUGAAUCUUAAUCAUUCCACUUAAGUAAAAAACAUUAUCCCAUUCCAAUGGUUUCAGUACUGAAACCUGCUGAAAUAACAACUGGCCAGAAAAUUAAAACUACAAUAUACCGAAGAACAUAUCCCAAAGUAUAAAAUACGCUCAUCCAAAGCACAAGAGAAGGCUCCUUAACCUCAAUUACUGUAAACAUUUAAAACGAAAUUAAGAGUUUUCUAGACUUACAAACCAUCUCACUCGGAACGAUUAGCAUACCUCUCCACCUUAUCAUCAAGAUUAAUUCCAACCAUNNNNNNNNNNNNNNNNNNNNNNNNNNNNNNNNNNNNNNNNNNNNNNNNNNNNNNNNNNNNNNNNNNNNNNNNNNNNNNNNNNNNNNNNNNNNNNNNNNNNNNNNNNNNNNNNNNNNNNNNNNNNNNNNNNNNNNNNNNNNNNNNNNNNNNNNNNNNNNNNNNNNNNNNNNNNNNNNNNNNNNNNNNNNNNNNNNNNNNNNNNNNNNNNNNNNNNNNNNNNNNNNNNNNNNNNNNNNNNNNNNNNNNNNNNNNNNNNNNNNNNNNNNNNNNNNNNNNNNNNNNNNNNNNNNNNNNNNNNNNNNNNNNNNNNNNNNNNNNNNNNNNNNNNNNNNNNNNNNNNNNNNNNNNNNNNNNNNNNNNNNNNNNNNNNNNNNNNNNNNNNNNNNNNNNNNNNNNNNNNNNNNNNNNNNNNCCGGCCAUAAUCGAAUUGUGUGUGUGUGUGUGUGUGAAAGAGAGGAACAGAGGAAGAGAAAGGAGGAGAUAGGAAAUGAAAAGGUGGUGGAGGACAAUAGGAGUAAAGUGGCUAGGGAUUCUGUGUCUGAGGAUUUCUACCUUGUUUAUAGGAGUAGUAACUGCUAUAAUUUUUUAAUAAUAAUUGGCCUUUUUAAUUCUGAAAAUAUCUUCAUUGUUUAUACACCAAACAAAAUCAACAUAUUUCCUCAUCAGUCCUCCUUUUCCCUUGUUUCAUUGUUUGUUUGUGAUAAACAAUUUUAUAUGUAUUGUGGGAGUGGGAAAGAGGAACUUUAUUUACAUACUAUAUUUUUUUAUUUUAAUUUGGUGUUCAAUUUUUUUAUUAUGCUCCAGUUAACUCAAAUUUGCGUUGCAUAAAUCUUACUGUUUAACUUCAAAAUCGGAUAACAAUUAAAUUUAUAAGUAAUUUUAAGGAUACGUGGACUAACUUGAUACAAAAUGAUAAAUUAGAUCGUAAUUGAAAUAAAUAAUGACAAAAUAAAUGCAAACCACACGAAUUGAAUAGUAUCAGCCUUGGAAGGUUAGCCAACCUCGAGUCGGGUACGCUUUGAUCGGUGUCACAAGAGCUUAAAGAUAAAUAAUAACAAUGUAUUGCUUUGGGAUGCAUGUUACCAUCUCCUCAAUGAAUUAUCAGACCUCCCCCCUUUAUAUAGUAGAGGAGUCCUACUUUAGGUACAAUUCUAUAAAAGGUAAAAGUCCAUUGAUUAGCUAAUUGCCGGUUACUUACUGGUACGCGCCGAGUCCUGCCGUAAUACCCGAUCGGUAACGGAUAUUUCGGUCUUAUGUUGGUUAUGCUAACAAUAAUUCUUCGAGCUCGAUCGGGGCUAAGGUCGACUCCGGGAUUACGGAUUCAAUAUUCCCGAAGACAAGCGUUCUGACCCCGAGUUCUAACUCGGUGGGACUCGGGGUCGAUCUUCAGUCUUUGGUUGUCAUGUUUCGAGCCUAACUUGCCAUGUCGUAAUCGAGCUUGAUUCGGACCAUAUACAAAUAGUCCCCUCAUUUUUCGAAGACUAGACGACGAGAAACGACAUGACCUUUCGAUUCUCUCUUCGACACCACAAAACAGAAACGACAAAACAGUCGAAACGUCUCGCCAGUCAAGUCUUAAUGGCAUUAAAUGUUUGUCAGUUGUUGGUCGACCACUCCUGGAUGCGAACCGUCGUUGAAAAACUAUAAAUACCCCCUCAUUUGCUCAUUCAAACUUUACAUUCAAAGCUUCUGCCCCUGUACCUUAGCAAUUUCAAUAUUUUCAGGCACUUAUAUUUGAGAUCUUUUUAUAAGAACUUCUGUUUCGUCUUCAUCCCAAACCAUUAAGUGUACUCUUUUAACUUACUCUUUUUCCUUAUAUCCUCUCCAUAAAGAAAUGGCAAAAACUUCCAAAAUUGUUCCCCAAAAAGAAACUCCUUCUACCUCGCGGCCGACUACCGAAGAGACCAAUUCACGUACUGUUAUCGAGGAACCAGCACUGGAACCCCCUCUAAAAAUGUUCAUCCCGUGGGGUGCCCGAUCAGUGCUGAUUUUAAAGUCGAAAAGCCCUCCUCCAUACCAGGCCGGUGUGAGGAGGUCUCGAGGUACAUCUGCUCGAUCACCGAGGAUAUUCUCUUCAAAGUCAAGAAGGAUUGUAACUGGGUUGACAAACAUGUGGUGGUUCCCGAACCUGACGAAGCCAUCACCACCCACGUCGAGGAAUUUUUAAGUGGUUACACUUAUCCCUUCACGUUGGGCCCCUUGGACCCGAUUAUCAUCGACUUUUACAAAAGACACGAGGUAACCCUCGGUCAAAUUCACCCUUCUUUCUGGAGGAUCGCAAUCCUCCUCCGUUUCUUUUUAAGAUAGAUCGAAGGGUUCCCUUUCACGAUCGACCAUCUUAUACAUUUAUACAGUCCCCGACUCUACCGAGGGGACUAAUCAAGCUCGCUCGUCGGGCUAGUAAAGUCGCAUUCUCGAGUAUCGAUGAAGAUAGGGAUCGAGGUUGGCUAGGCUGUUUUAUCCGGAUGAGGACCUCGGACUUGAUCCUGGCCGAGCACAUGUCGUUCCCUGAGAAGUGGAACAUGAAACGUAAGUAUAUAAUUUUGUCUCCAAGAUUUUAUUUAUCGCCAUUUUCCUUCCUUCUUAUCGGUAUUCUGUGAUGGUGCAGCUGUUGUUCGGAUCCCGAAAGAAGUUCCUCGACUCAAGGAGUGGGUCAAGGGCAUCGUAUCACAAAGGCCUUAUUCCGAGCGCUCGUGGCGUUAUCUUUCAAAGGGUCGAUGGGAGGCUCGUUCGCACGGUGAGAUCUCUUUCAUGAGUAAUAUUUGGUUUUCCCUUUGCAUGAUUAAGUCCUUACUUGUUUUAUUUCUUUUUGCAGGUUUACCCAAAGAUGUCCAAAUGAGGCCCCCAUCCAGUAGUAAAGAUUUCCCCAUUGAGUCCCCUACUCCAAAACAAGGUGAAGAGAAGAAGAGAAAAGGGCUCCGAGUUCUCCGAGCUCGGAGAAAAAAAAACCAAGGAGGAUCUGCAAGCCAAAAGAAACCUCUAGCUCAUGAAUAAUUGAUUCAGACUCCCUCAACAGGCUCAGGGAUGAGUCUGAAGAGGAUGCAAUUUUAGUGGUCCGGGAGCUAUUGGCCCCUGAAGAACGGGCAUCAACCGAAGGGGGGACGAUAUAGGACAAUCCUUCCCAAACUCAAGAGGUCGGUGCAUCAGUGAGGGUCUAGAACCCUCAAGACGUCGGUCCUGCUCCACCCGUUGUCAUUGAUAUAACAGGAUCACCCUUGUUCACGGACUCAAUGUUCGAUGAAGCUCAAGAGGCGAAGAAGCGUUCAAAUGAAGGGGUCUAAGGAGCAAACGAUCCCCUCCAAAUCGUUUUUGAUGGCAUGAACUCUAUUGCCACGGAGGAUGUCACCAGAUUAGGUGAUUUAGAAGUACCAAGAAGAAGUCUGCCCUCGGGGAUCGAUGGGUCUAGCUUGAGCCCGAGAUUGGUCAACCGAUUCCCUGCCCCGAGUGUCGAUCCCGGUCGGAAGCGGUCGAUUAUGAUCUUUGUUUAACGAAGCACAACAGACAUUGAAUCGGGUAUGGUGUUACCAUACCUUUUCAUUUUCUAACUUUGGUUACUUAAUGAUCUUAAUGUUUUUCCUUGUAUUCGCAGGCCUCGGUGCUUCACCACGAGACCUUCCUCCGAUAUCGAGAAGAUCUGAGUCUCCUCGAGGCCAAAGCCAAAGAGCUUAUUGAGAAGAGAGAUAUGUACAAACUUCUUAGUGGGCAGCGCGAGGGGGAGGUUAAGAGCCUCCGAGGUGAGCUGGAGGUGGCUCGAAAGGAGCAUGUCGACUUGGUCGAGCAAGUAAAAAUAUUUGAGGUUAGUGAUGAAGAGCUAGGCUUGGUGACUAACGGUCGAAAUCCACAUGUCCAACAAAAAAUUGAUUAGAUCGAUCAACUACGAGCUGAGAUGGAUGUUGUCAAGGCCGAGACCGACGAAUGGAGGGGCAAGAUGGAUCGUUUGGCCUCGAAAAAAGAGGUUGCUCGGGCGCAAUUGACUUCGGCUGAGGUCCAGCUUCGAGCAACAAAGGAAAAGGCCGAGGUGCAGGCCAAAAAGGUUGAAGAGCUCCAGUCUCAGCUAAGUUCGGUUGCCUCUGAUCAAAAAAAUAUGGCCAAGGAACUUGAAACGGCCAAGUCAGCGGCCGCGGUGGUUAAAGCCUUUGCCAACGAGAUGGUGGCCCAAUAUAAGGCCGAUGCCGAGGCGGCCCAGGACCGCUUGAAAGACAUUGUUGAAUACGAGAAACGGCGGUCACGAAGAGAGGCCCUCGAGGAGGUUCAUGCUCGGGGUUUUGAUCUAUUGACCGAGAUCGAAAUCGCUAAGGGGCUCGAGGCCAAGGCCAAGAAAUUGUCUUACCCCAAGGAAGAAGAAGAAGAAUAAGAAAANAGAGAGAGAGAGAGAGANAAAAGAAGAGNNNNNNNNNNNNNNNNNNNNNNNNNACGACGUAACGUACGUACGUAACGUAACGAAGAAGAAGAAGAAGAAGAAGAAGAAGAAGAAGAAGAAGAAGAAGAAGAAGAAGAAGAAGAAGAAGAAGAAGAAGAAGAAGAAGAAGAAGAAGAAGAAGAAGAAGAAGAAGAAGAAGACUCUGAGGGUCCCGAUGGGCCCGGAGGUGGAGAAGACCAGGCUAUUUAGACGCCUUUGUAAAAAUAUUUUGCUUUUUUUGUUUUUCCGUACUUGUGUACUUUUGUAUGUUUUUGUUAAGGCCAUUUGGCCUUUGUAAAGACUAUAUAUAAUAUACAAGGCUUGUUUUUCCCUUCGACAGUUUUUAAGAAUCUUGUUUUUCUUUGCUUUAUUCUUUAUGUUUGCAAGGAUCGAAAUGCCUUAGCAUAAAAUAGUUAGGUCAUGUUCGGAGGUUCGAACAGGCCUUGCCUUCUACAUUAUUUUGUUUAAGGCAUUGUGGGGGUUCGGUAUGACUAGAAACUUUUUUCCCAAAGUACUUAUGAUUUUUUUUUAGAUUAUAGUUUGUCAAAGGUAGCCUUUAGAACCGGUUAUGAAAUUUUGAAGGCCUUGUUUUUUGUUACGGGUCUCGGACAUCUUCGAGCCGUUUUAAUAUGGUCGUAGCCUUUAGUUUGGGUGUUGCCCAGUGGGCUUGUUACCCCGAGUUAUUCGGGCUUGCCUAAUAUAAUAUUCCCCGAAUGGGGAUGGCCGUAGCCUUUAAGGUUCGGGCACUGCCUAAUAGGUCUCGUGCACCCCAGGCUCAGAUAGUUCGAGCCGUCCGAUUUUGUUUGUGGACGGUAGCCCCCGAUUGGGAUUGAUCGUUUGAACCCGGAUAAAGGCGGCCCUUGGGCUCGAUACUUUUAGGGGAUCGAAUGUACGAAAUUCCUUAAGAGGAAAAGAAAAAAGAGAAAUUCUUAAGGGACAAGAUAUUUAUCCGCAAGGUAGAAACUUCUUUUUAUUCUUAUGCGUGAUAGUUACAUAUGUGUACAAGUUUUAUGCCAGGUCUAGAGUAGUCUAUUCGAGCACGGUUCAUUUGACCGUUUAUCCCUUAAAGUAAAUCGUAUCGAUCGAGCCAAGACCAUCCAAUCAUAAAGUUCCCUUCCUUACUAAAGUCGUUAUCUAAGAGUGAUGCCCCCGGUAUUCGAGGACGAGCGUAGAGAGGCCUUGAAUACUGUUAUCGCGAUCUUCGAUAACAGUUCAUAACCGGCCUUCAAUUCUAGGUUAGCGUGAUUUACUGUUACCUCAAUAAAAUCCUUGCCGGAAAACCCAUUUGGGACAAAACCGAUUCAAGGGAAAAAGAGUGCAAUGCGUGCUUUCAGGCCUAAAGAUUGUAUCGUCCUUUGAUGAUUGCCUGCAAGUGUUAGUUCGUAAUAUAAAUAAAUAAAAGUAAAUGAAUGGGGUCAUACCUUAAUAGUAGUUGCUCACCGUUCAUUGUUCCGAGCUUGUACGACCCUUUAUCGGUGAUCUCGAUAAUUUGAUAAGGUCCUUCCCAGUUCGGCCUAGCUUUCCUUCGUUCGGGUUCCAGGUGUUUUGUAUGACCUUCCUUAACACUAAGUCCCCGACAUUGAAGUGCCGAAGGUUGGCCCUUCGAUUGUAAUAUCUCUCGAUCCGCUAUUUUUGGGUAGCCAACCGGACAAGGGCUGUUUCGCGCCUUUCAUCUAAUAGAUCUAGGCUCGUGUUCAUAGCUUCGUUGUUCGAUUCCUUGGUUGCAUAUCAGAACUUGAGACUUGGUUCUCCGACUUCGACUGGUAUUAGAGCUUCGGCACCGUAAACCAGUGAGAAUGGGGUGGCCCCGGUACUGGACUUCGAGGUCAUACGGUAUGCCCAUAAGAUUUCGGGCAGGAUUUCCUUCCAUUUUCCUUUGGCGUCGGUCAACCUCUUCUUGAGGUUUUUGAGUAUGGUUUUGUUGGUCGAUUCUGCUUGUCCGUUCCCACUAGGGUGGUAAGGUGUUGAUAGGAUCCUUUUGAUCUUAUGAUCUUCGAGAAACUUGCUAACUUUGCUGCCGAUGAAUUGUUUCCCGUUGUCGCACAUGAUCUCGGCCAGCAUUCCGAACCGGCAUAUGACAUGGUCCCAAAGGAAAUCGAAGACUUACUUCUCCCUGACCUUUUCGUAUUCCUGGGCUUCCACUCACUUAGAAAAAUAGUCAGUCAUAAAUAAUAUAAAUUGAGCCUUACCUUGCCCACGGAAGGGGGCCAACAAUAUACAUUCCCCACUUCAUGAAACAAAAACAAAUGUAACAGCUCCCCGGACUGAUGAAUCAUCGGAGCGUGUCUUUGACAUUCAUCACAAUUUCGUACGAACUCCUUCGCGUCCUUUUCUAUAUCGAUCCAGUAGUAGACAGCUCUGAUCACUUUCUGAACCGAUGAUUCGGCGCCUGAAUGAUUUUCACAUGUGCCUUCGUGGAUUUCCCUCAAAACGUACUUGGUAUCCCCUGGUCCCAGACAUAUCAUGAGUGCGCCAUCGAAUGUUCUUCUGAAUAGGGUUCCGUCUUCGGACAGGAUAUACUGGGCUGCCUUUGUACGCAGGGCCCUUGAUUCUUUUGUAUCCGAGGGCAAUUUUCCAGUCUUUAGAUAUUCUAUAUAUUUAUUCCUCCAGUUCCAAGUUAGGCUCGUUGAUUUAAUCUUGGAAUGGCCUUCUUCCACUACCAAUCUCAUAAGUUGUACAACUGCCCCCGAGUUUAACUAGUCGUCCUCGAUCGAUGACCCUAAAUUAGCGAGGGCAUCGGCCUCACUAUUUUGAUCCCGAGGUACAUCUUGUAAAGUCCAUUCUUUGAACUGAUGUAACGUUACCUGCAACUUAUGCAGGAACCUUUGCAUUCAUUCUUCUCUGACUUUGAACGUCCCAUUAACUUGGUUCACCACAAGAAGGGAGUCUCACUUGGCUUCGAUCACCUCUGCCCCAAGCUUUUGGCUAGUUCGAGACCUGCAAAUUAUAGCCUCAUAUUUGGCCUCAUUGUUAGUCAAUUUCACAGUCCUAAUAGAUUGUCUAACUACAUUACCUGUUGGCGGCUUCAAUACGAUGCCAAGUCCGGACUCUUUUGCGUUCGAAGCAUCGUCCGUAAAGAGGGUCCAGAUUCUCGAAGAAGUCCCCGAGUUCAACAACAACUCUCUUUCGACCUUGGGUAUUAGGGCCGGCGUAAAGUCGGCCACAAAGUCUGCCAAAUUUUGAGACUUAAUGGCAGUCCGAGGCCGAUAUUUAAUAUCGUACCCACUGAUCUCUACGACCCAUUUGGACAACCAUCCCGAGAGCUCGGUUUUAUGCGUUACAUUCCUCAAUGGGUAAGUUGUCACGACACAUAUGGGGUGACAUUGGAUGUACGAUUUUUUGCUUCCUAGAGGUGCUUAGCAAAGUGAGCGCCAACUUUUCUAGGUGAGGGUGUCUAGUUUCAACCUCGCCUAGAGUCCUACUAACAUAGUAAAUUAGAAAUUACGUACCUUUCUCUUCCCGGACCAGGACUCCACUUACCGCUAUCUCCGAUACUGCCAAGUACAAGUAUAGUUGUUCGUCUGCCUUCGGCGUGUGAAGCAGUUGUGGGCUCGAUCGAUACCGCUUGAGUUCCUCCCAGGCCCGUUGGCACUCUGGGGUCCAUAAGAAGUUAUUCUUCUUCAAUAGUGUGAAGAAUUGGUGGCUCUUGUCGGAGGACCUCAAGAUGAAUUGCCCUAGGGCAGAUAUGCACCUGGUUAAUCUUUGCACAGCCUUUACGUUGUCCACAACCGUGAUAUCUUCGAUGGCUUUCAUCUUGUCGGGGUUGAUCUCGAUUCCCCGAUUGGAAACCAUGAAUUCGAGUAAUUUACCUAACCCAACUCCAAACGCACAUUUCUCCGUGUUCAGCUUCAUAUUGUAUUUUUUCAAUAUACUGAAGGUUUUCUGCAAAUAUUUUAAAUGGUCCUCUGCUCGCAGGGACUUAACCAACGUAUCGUCAAUGUAAACCUCCAUUGAUUUUCCUAUUUGUUCCUCGAACAUCCGGUUUACUAGGCGUUGGUAAGUGGCACCGGAAUUUUUUAACCCGAAUGGCAUCACAUUAUAGCAGUAUGUGCCGUAUUUAGUAAUAAAGGAGGGUUUUUCCUGAUCACCCGGGUUCAUCCGUAUUUGGUUGUACCCGGAGUAGGCAUCGAGAAAACUGAGGAUCUCGUGGAUGGCCGUGGCGUCGAUUAUGCGAUCGAUGUUGGGCAAAGGGAAAUAGUCCUUGGGACAUGCCUUAUUCAAAUCCUUAUAGUCUACACACAUUCUUAAUUUGUUCCCUUUUUAGGGACUACUACUACAUUUGCUAAACAAUUCGGGUAUUUAACAUCCCGAAUGGACCCUAUUUUAAGAAGUUUAGAUAUCCUGUCCUUGAUGAACGCAUAUUUGACCUCGGACUAGGGUCUCCUCUUCUGCUUGACCAGAUGGAAUUUUGGGUCUAGGCUUAGUUUGUGAGUGGUUAUCUCCGGCUGGAUCCCUGUCAUAUCAAGGUGGGACCAAGCGAAAUAAUCUUCAUUAGCUAUAAGAAAUUGAAUGAGUUUUUUCUUAAGCUUGGGGCUUAACCCCGUGCCCAGGUAUACCUUUCGAUCGGGUUGGUGUUCACUCAAUAAGACUUGUUCUAGUUUCUCGACCGUUGAUUUUGUAGCAUUGGAGUCAUCAGGGGCUAUAAAAGAUCUGGGGACCCCGUAGUGAUCGUCCUCGUCUACCCCUCAUUUCUCCGAUUCUAUCGAAGCUGGUAUCAGUGAUUGCUAUUUGGCCCUGUCUUUGACUAUCUAGUUCGGAUCCUCCGAUGUUAUGGAUGUUGGGAUCACUUCAUCGACCGCGAACAUUUCCUUGGCGGCCGGUUGUUCCCCAUAAACUGUUUUGACUCUGUUGGGUGUUGGGAAUUUCAACACCUGGUGCAGUGUCGAGGGAACUGUUAUCAUGUUGUGGAUCUAAGGCCUCCCGGACAAAACGUUGUACCUUAUGUCUCCUUCGAUCACAUAAAACUUAACUUCCUGGAUGGUGCUGGCAGUGUUCACUGGUAAUGCUAUCUCACCCUUAGUGGUUUCAUAUGCCAUGUUGAAUCCGUUUAAAACUCGGACCACAUGCACAAUUUGAUUUUGUAGACCGAGCUGCUCCACGACCUUCGAUUGGAUGAUGUUGGCCGAGCUACUUGGAUCAAUUAACACAUGUUUAACUCAAAUUUUAUUCAUGAUUACAGAUAUUACUAGUGCAUCAUUAUGGGGCUGCAGGAUCCCUUCCGCAUCCUCGUUGUUGAAAGACAAGGUUCCUUCCGAUAUGUAAUCUCGAGUUCAUUUCUCCCUCGUGAUAGACACUUUGGUGCGCUUCAACAUCGGCCACUGUGGGAUAUCGACCCCACCAAUGAUCAUGUUAAUGAUGUGUUGAGGUUCUUCUUGUUCGGUCUGUUUGUUAGAAUCCCUGUUCCUGAAAUAAUUCUUGGCUCGGUCGCGUAGGAAGUCUCGAAGAUGUCCGUUGUUGAAUAGUCGGGCUACUUCCUCUCUCAACUAUCGGCAAUCCUCCGUUCUGUGGCCGUGAGUGUCGUGAUAUUUACAUAUCUUUUUAUGAUUCCUUUGGGUUGGAUCGGAUUGUAAAGGUCGAGGCCAUUUGGUAUCUUUGAUGCAUCCGAUAAAUGAUAUAAUGGCGGUAGCAUCGACAUUAAAAUUGUAUUCCGAUAAUCUCAGUGCUUCUUUAGGUCCGAUGGGCCUGUCGAAGCUAUUUUUUCUCAUGAGUCCCCGGUUGCUCUGACCUCGGUUACUUCUCCUUUCAUUUUUCGUAUAGUUCUUCCUGGACCCACUGCUUCUUUGGUCUUCAUUAUACGGCUGAUAUCGAUCCCUGUUUGGUCUCGGUUCACGAUCAAUGUCUCUCUUGACUCUGUCAAUGGUUCUAACGGGAUAAAUAGACCUCGAAGUGGCCCAAAGUUGAUCAUCUUCCACUCUGAUCUUCGAUUGAUACCGGUUAUUCACAUCGGCCCAAGUAAUGGCCGAAUAUUCUAUCAGGUUUUGUUUCAACUAAUGUGAAGCCACCGAGCUUCGAACAUUGAGCCCUUGGGUGCAAGCCUGAAUGGCCCAAUCAUCAGCGACCGAUGGCAUGUCCAUUCAUUCCAUUUGAAACCGGGACACGAACUCUCUGAGCAUCUCGUUAUUCUUUUGUUUUACUUUGAAAAGGUCUGAUUUCCUGGUCUCGACCUUGAUGGCCCCGGCGUGUGCUUUUACGAAAGAAUCCGCAAGCAUAGCAAAUGAGUCAAUAGAAUUAGGAGGUAAGUUGUGAUACCAUAUCAUAGCCCCUUUCGAUAGGGUCUCUCCGAAACAGGACAGACUCGAUCUCAUCAUCCUCCAAGUAGUUCCCUUUGAUGGCACAUGUAUAAGAGGUUACAUGCUCAUUUGGGUCGGUCGUUCCGUUAUACUUAGCGAUCUCGGGCAUGUGGAAUUUCUUAGUGAUCGGCUUUGGAGUCGCGCUCGGAGGAAAAGGCUUUUGCACGAACUUCUUAGAAUCCAGUACUUUUAAUAUUGGCGGUGCUCCUGGAAUUUGGUCCACCCUGAAAUUGUAGGUUUCCACCUUUUUGUCAUUGGCUUCGAUUUUCUUCUCCCCCGAUUCUAUUCGUUUCGUCAGCUCUUCGAGCAUCUUUACGAUCUCGGGGUUAGCCCCCGAUUCAUUUUCAUUUGACCUUUUUGCGAUCGGUUCAUUCCUACUAGUGACUUCCAGGGGCGGAUCGGGUUCAACUCUGCUCGGUGCACGGCUUUGGUUCUAUAACUGAUCUAUCGCCGCCUGUUGAAUCUGCAGCAUUUCGAAGAUCACCCGUAAACUGAUCCCGUCUCCUCCAAUGUUUUGUAUGUUUUGAGUUACCGAUUGGGCUCCACCACGGACGCUAUUCUCGGGGUCGGUAGGCAAGUUUGCGUCAAUAGCCACAUGUGAAUUAGCGUCAAUCGGGCCCGCGAUCGGAACUCUGAUGGGAUCAACGGGCGGUACCUCGUCACCGGGCGCCAUGAUGUUAUUUUUACCGUGAUGGCCGGACUCAUUGUCAACAUGUAGGGGUGCUGAUUGAGAGUUUGACAUUUUGAGUUUUAAUCUGAAAUUAGAGAAACUUCAAAGAACAAGUGUAAAGUAGUGUGUGUUAUGGAGAUUUGUAUCAAAUAACCACUAUUAUUCUUAGCUCUAUGGUGGGCGCCAAACUGUUUACCCUUAAAAUCGGAUAACAACUGAAUUUAUACGUGAUUUUAAGGAUACGUGGACUAACUUGAUACAAAAUAAUAAAUUAGAUCGCAAUUGAAAUAAAUAAUGAUAAAAUAAAUGCAAACCACACGAAUUGAAUAGACAUGAUACAGAACAAGAAGAGCUUAAAGAGAAAUACGAACAAUGUAUUGCUUUGGGAUGCGUGUUACCAUCUGCUCAAUGAAUUAUUAGACCCCCCUUUAUAUAGUAUAAGAGUUCUACUUUAUGUACAAUUCUAUAAAAGGUAUAAAUCCAUUGAUUAGCUAAUUCCCGGUUCGUUACUGAUACGUGCGAAAAUUUUCGCCGUAAUACCCGGCCGAUAACGGAUAUUUCGGUCUUCUGUUGGUUAUGCUAACAGUAUUUCUUCGAGCUCGAUCGGGGCUAAGGUCGACUUCGGGAUUACAGACUCAAUAUUCCCGAAGACAGGCAUUCUGACCCCACGUUCUUACUCGAUGGGAUUCGGGGUCGAUCUUCAGUCUUUGGUUGUCAUGUUCCGAGCCUAACUUGCCAUGUCAUAAUUGAGCUUGAUUCCGACCGUAUACACUUAUUUAAAAAAAAUCUAUUCUAUUAAAAAAAAAUUCAUUCUCAAGGUUCGAACACAACAUACAUUCUUAAGUUUCAAAUCUCCAUAUGAUCACCACCGUCUAUAUACAGAUAAAUUUGAUAAGUAAUGAUAAUAAAUAAGCAGUUUAGCUUCUAAGUUGUUUUUGACGAUUAAUGAACGAUUACCAAGCAGACAAAAGAGAGCUGGACAUUCAAAUUAAGGGAUGAGAUCAUAGGCAAUCGAAUUAAAGGUUUAUGUAUACUUCGAAUGUUAUAUUUAAAUCGAUGAGAUCAUAAGAUACUUUACAAUAAAAUCAUAAACUAAGCAAUUGAAAGAAUAAUUUUUAACGUCUAUGAAGAAAAUUUUCUGGGUUGCAUUUUUCUGCCUCAACUAAAAGAAUCGACGUUUUUUUUGGUAAGAGGGAAACCCGCAACCGCUACAAUCUCUACAACAGCCUCUACCUUUCGGGUGAUCACUCUGUGGUUAGCACUUUGUGCGUACUGGGUAAACCUCCCUCUGUGUAAUAGCCUGCAAAUCACACAGAGAAUAUAAACCGGACUAGACAAACCCCAUGCGACAGACUCAGAUCCAAAGAGACAUUGCGAUAGAUCCCACAUCUUCCGUGUGGAAGUCGCCUGCCAAACCCAACUGGGCCGUCCCUUCGGGACAAAGAAGAAGCAUUUCAUCGAUAAAACGACUAGUAAAUGACAAUCCUAACUCCCACUUUCUAUCACUGAAAUUUUAUUAACCUAAAAUGUUAGUUUUAAAAUUAAGAUUACUUUAUUGACAAGAAAAUAAAUUUGAAACGUAAAACGGAUGCACUUAAAUACUUUAUUUUAAAUUUGAAACUCAGAAGAUAAAACUUCGUAUUAAAUUUAGAGAGAACCUUUUCUCCCUAAAUGGUAAUGUAUACCUAUUAAACCAUGGUUAAAAUUAUUGUUGGAAUAAACAAAAUUGGGCCUUUAAUAAUUAAAUAGGAUAAAUGUCAUAUAUCUAUAUAGAAAACUUGGGAAAAUGGAGAAGAUGAGAAUUGAAGAGGAGUCUCCUCUCGAAUUAGGAGUAUUGAUUUUAUUUUUAUUAAUCGGAUAAGUGGAUAACCGCAAAAUAAAAUAGCACCUAGCACAAUAUAUAAAACGAAUGUAAAAAAUGACUAAUAAAAUUGAUUUGGUUUCAAAAGAAUUUUCGUAAAAGGAAGUACAGUCCACAUUCCACAACAGAUCAUAUGGACUAGUUAUCAACCAAAUUAAGGGGGAUGAGGAUGGGAAAAUGGUUAGUUGUAAUCUGAUUGUCAUUACCUCGGAGGAAGAUCAGUUGAAUGGAAAUUGGUCAAACGCGGGGCGGACAAUCAAAACACGAGUUAUUUAUGGUGACCAAGCUUCUCCUAUCUUAAAUUUUUUUUUUUUUUUUUAAAAGGUGCAAUUUUUUUCAAAGUUGAAAUAUUUAGCCAACAUUUUGGAAGAAAAAAAAUAUUUUUGAAGAGAAAUAAAAAUAGUUUUGAAGAAAUAGAAAAAAAUAGUUUCUUUCCAAAAGUACUUUUGAGAAAAAUAUACUUAGAAAUAGUUUUUAAAAAUUUGGCCAAACAUUAAUUGGUGCUCAAAAUUAUUUUUCAAAUUAAUUAGUCAAACACAAACUGUUUCUCACCGAAAGUACUUUUAAAAAAAAAUACUAAUUUUUAUCGCUUGACCAAACGGGAUAUUAAUUUGGAUUAACAUAGGAAGAAUAGUGCCUUUUAAAGUGAAGUCGAUUACAAUUCGGGGAUAAUUUCUUCUAGCCCGUAAACCCGUCUGGACAUACAAUUUUUUUUUUUUUUUUUUUUUUUUUUUGCUUUUUUCAAUUUACUUUAAAACUGUUUGAUUUUAUAUUGGACUAACUUUUUAAAAGAAAUUGAAGAGUAGUUUUUCAUACUGUGACCAGAUUUUUUCACUUACAAAAUUACAACUUUUUAAACAAAAGGUUUUCACUGUUCGACAGUGAAAGAGGCGGCGAGAGAAAAGGGGCACGAUUUGAUAGUGGCUGAUAAAUUAAUGCAUUAGAGAAAUAUGGCGUCCUCACGUUAUUAAUGAUGAUGCUAUUGCCCUCGAAAAGGCAAAAGGCAAAUGAACCACUUGAGAGAAACAACAAAAGUUGGAAAACGUAAAAGGCCUUGGGGAGACCACAAUCCUGUAUAAUAAUUCAUGUCACGGAUCUGUUGACCCUGAUACCCCAAAUCUGACGAAUCCUCAUAGUCAUUAUAUUUUAUUAUUCAUAUAUUUUUGUUUAAUUUUUAUAAUACUUAAUUCUUCCUUCAUUUUCUUUUAAUUCAUGGACAAAAAAACGGUAUAUGUCAGAAUACCAUUUUCCUUCUCACAACAUUCCUGAUUUUCACAGCAGCAGAAAAACAAAUAAAAUAGUCGUAAGCAGUGAGCGCAGAAGCGCUAAGGAGUUCCCCCACAAAACUCGCUAAUUUUGGUUUGACCACAAAAUUAGAAACGCUAUAUACAUAUACGCCUACUGAUCAGCAAAAAUUACAGGUGGUGGAUCAUUGUUGCUACCGAAUGUUAUAAUAUUUGAUCUUACAUUACUGUUACAGACCUUGGUUUAUCUUUCAAAUAUCCAAACACGUGCGGGACAAACAUUGGAGACGUGUGGGUUUCCUAUAAACUUCUUCUUAGCACCUUCUUUUGUUAAUGCAUCCGUCGUCACUUGCUCUGUUCCCUGAAGAAUGAAGAUGUGCCUGAGCGUCGGUUUCCCAAGUUUUGCAUUAGCUGCCUACGUUCAUUAAUAAUUUUUGUAUGAUUAUUUGUAUUAUCUCAGUUGAGUCUGUGGCUAUUUUCAGAGGUGUAAGAUUUUGUUGAGCCAUAAUUUUAAGUUCUUGCAUGAGAGCUAUUAGUUUAGCCUAUUUGUUAGUCGUGUUUACUUUUAAACUGGAUAACAAUUGAAUUUGUACGCGGUUUUAAGAAUACGUGGAUUGAUUCAACACAAGUAAUCAAGAAUGUUAGAUAAACGAAUUAAAGAUGAGAUAGAUAACCAAACUAGUUUUGACUUUGAGUCCGGGUUCGGAUUUUAGCUCAACAAUAGUUUUGCCCUCGACUGGAUCCCUCGAUUCGAAGCCAAAUACAUAUGAAGAACUAUGAUUAAAAUAAGAACCUUUCAAUAGCUAGAAAGCAGAGAAGUUAUUUUUGUAUUGCUUUGAUAUGCGUAUUACAAUGUGUAUUGAAUGAAUAAGCUUUCCCUUUAUAUAGUAGGAGAGUUUCAUCUCUAGUACAACUCUAAAAAAGGUAAAAACAUCCUCAUUUCUUGUCAAUUACUGAUAUGCUACCGACGUCGGACGAGAUUCGCGCUGUGAUAUCUAGUUGGGUGUGGAUAUCACGGCUUUCUGUUAGUCAUGUGCAACUGUGCGUAGUGCUUUUCGAGGUUUAGGAGUUCGCUUUAGGUCCAGGGAGUGUUGUGUUGGCGAACACUCCGUUCGGCCCCUGGUACGAGAAGUCCCCGGCUUCGAUUUUGAUCCCAGGCAGUCAUGUCUUCGCUUCAUUUGACCCACUGGGAAAUCGGGGUAUAUGUUACCCCCUGUUUUACCCGUAUAUAGAUAGUCCCCUCAUUUUCCAGAGAGUAGGUUUGCCGAAACGAUGGAAGACGAUAGAUGAACCCUGGUUCCUUCCUUUGCACGUUUCAUCCGAUAUGGCGGAUAAGCCGAAACGUCCCAUCAGUCGCGUCGUUUUGACUUCGGACACGUGUCGGUCAACGGAUGGUCGCCUUCGAAUACGAAACGUCGCGAAUUUCCCCCUAUAAAAGCUUCGCCCCCUUCACUUCCUUCACUUUAUGAUCCUAGUUUUUACCUUCGAACUCUACAAAGGCUUUCGUCUUUCUUGAAUCUUCAUACCUUAUUUCCUGAACCUUCAUAUCUUCAUCUUCAACCUCCAACCUUCAUACAUUUUCUUGGAUUUUCAACCCAGAACCUCAUAUCUUCACUUUCAAACUUCAAAUCUUCAUACACUCUCUCCAAAUCUUCAUAUAUUUUCCAGAUUUACAAUGGCCAAGACAUCUAAAUCAGUUCCACAGCAGGCUGCCUCUUUAUCUACUCACCCGGCCACAGGUACUGAGGCAACUGUCCCCGAAGUGGUUGUUCUCAAUACGGCUGCUCCCGAAGUGGAUGCCGCCGAAGAGGCCCCUAAGCCCCCCAUGAAAAGUUUUAUUCCCCGGGGUUGUUCAAUCACAGACGACUUCAAAGUCGAGAAGGCUUCAUCUAAACAAGACCGAGGUGAAGGGGCGUCGAGAUAUAUAUGCUCUGUCACCGAAGAUACCCUUCCCAUUGUUCGAGAGGACUGUAACUGGGGAGGUAAGGACGUGGUAGUCCCCAGGCCUGAGGAUGAUAUCACCAGUCAUGUGGAUGGGUAUUUAAGUGUUUACACUUAUCCCUUCACACUGGGCGCCUGGUAGACCCAAUUGUUUUGGCCUUUUGCAAGAGACACGAGGUGUGUCUUGGGAAAAUCCACCCGUCUUUGUGGAGGAUCGUGAUUCUCCUUCGUUAAUUUGUUAAUAACACAGAGUCUCAUCGGUUCACCCUCGACCACCUGCUCCGCCUAUAUAAUUCUCGAAUUUUUCGAGGGGGGCUAAUAAAGCUCACUCGCCGGGCCAUCAAGGCCCCUAUUCGAGCAUCGACGAAAAUCAAGACCGAGUCUGGCAGGGGCGCUUUGUUCAGGUGAAGAGUGAAGAUUUGAUCCCUUCUGAGUUUCUGCCAUUCCCUAAGAAGUGGAAUGCAUCUCGUAAGUGUAAUCUUUCCUUAAGCGUCGAGUCUUCUUUGUUCCAUUUCUCACCAUCAGUGUUUGUGAUUGUGCAGCUGCUACUUGGGUUCCUAAUGCGGUCUCCCGGCUCAAGGAGUGGAUCGAGGACAUCUCCAAACAAAUAUUGUAUUUUGAGUGCUCGUGGUGCAAGCUUUCGAAGGGCCGAUGGGAGGCCCGUUCUCAUGGUAGGACACUUCUUAGAAUAGUUAUUUUUACUCCCCAAACUUAUAUAACGCUGACCCCUUCUUUUUCCUUCGCAGGUUUGCCUAAGACCACCGAACUUAGGUCGCUGAUGUGUGGCUAUAAUUCAUGGUUUAGCACACUAUUCGCCUUGCAUUUUGUACGCUUUAAUGAUAAAUUACACUUUAUUUACUCGUAAUGAAGUCCAUUUUAUGUGUAGGUGAAUUGAAGAUGAAAGUAGAGCAAAAAAGAUACUUAAAAGUCGAAAGCGUACUGGGGAGCAGUUGAAAAUGAGAAGCUGGCGAAGCCAGGCCUACACCAGGCAUUAUACCUGGCGUCGCCAAGCUUGUAGCUGGCGAGAUACCUGGCGAGGCGGGCAGAAGGCGAGAUUGACCGGGCCUUAUACCUGGCGACGCCAGGCCUGGGGUGAGGUCUACCAGGCAUUAGGCCUCGUGAGGCCAGUUCUGGGCGUGCACAGUCUGAGUUUUGAAGACUUAUUUCGUCUCCGGGUUUGACUAGGACUUUGCCUACACGUUUAGGUCUUUUCCUACACAUAAAUAGACCUAAAACGCCACUUUUGAGGACUUUUGCAACCGGAGUCAAGAAUAGCUUAUGGAAUCACCUAUUGGGAGUUAGAAUCAUCGAUUUCUACAUCCUUUCAUCUUUACUUUGUAAUUUAAUUAUGCAAAAUAUUUGGAAUAUUGUUACUCUGAGUAUGAGUAGCUAAAUUCCUAGUCUAAGGUUUUGAUGGAACCUAUUAAAUGAUGAUUUUCUUGUUACGUUAAUAUAAAUUUGCCGUAGUAUUUUCUCUAUUUGUUCAACUACAUUAUUCAUGUGGUUGAUUGAAGGGCCCUCAAUUAGCUGUGCCUAUUUAGUAUGUAUUACUCGGGAGAGAGUGCAUAUUUAGGUAGUUGUUGAACAACAUCACUCCUAACGUAUAUGAGGGAUCAAUACGAAGGGUUUAAAGGUGGGAUUAGGGAUAACAAAAUCUUGGUGCGAUCUGAGUGAGCCGUACUUAAUGCCAGCUAGCGUAAUUCUGCAAAAUAUGUCUAGUAAAUUGUGGUAAUUACUUGGGAGAGAGUUACGACAGCCAUAGUACUCAUGAUCGAUAGAGAAGAAUUAGGCGAAUCUAUAGAAAACAUAGCGUACAAGAUUCCGACAAUAGGGGAAAUCACAACCUUAGAUCAUUCCAAUUCUUGUUUACAAACCGUUCAUAGUUAGUUAUUUAUUAUUGCAUUUUCAUUACGUAAUAUUUAGUUAAUAAACUUCCAAAUUGUUAUUGAAAUAUUUCUGAAGAUUGAUUGCAUGAAUUUGUGAGAGUCUAGCAGUUGUGGUUGAUAGGUUAAUUCCCUAUGGGAUUCGAUUCCGGACUUAUUAGCCGGAAUAUAUUUGCGACGAUCGCAUAGUCCUUUUUAUAAGGCAUAGUCGAGCAUGAUCAAAUUUUGGCGUCAUUGCCGGGGAAUUAACGGUGUUAUUAAUUGCAGCUAAAAGAAGUGCUAGAAUUCUUAGUGUAGUCAAUUUUCUUCAUUCUAAAUCAAAUACAUUGAAAUUCUAACGUUUGUAGUCUUGGGUGUUACAAGUGCAUGCCUAGGAACUCCUCAAGAACUGGUGAACUGCUCGAAGCAUUAUCAGAUCCUGAGAAAGUUUUCAAGGCACUAAAUUGUGCAAACAAGAAAAACAAACAGCAAUAAAACAUGACAGAACAAAUCUAACCAGAUAUGAAUGACGGAAUAGAAAAUCCAAUGAACAACAGAAACAAUGCGAAUGAACCAAACAAUCAGGGUGAGGUGCCUCCUGUACCAGAAGCAGCAUUAUAUAUUAUUGGGCACAACCCACCGCCGACAAUCUGGCAACCGCAAUUGCAAUCCCUCAACUAUAAGCGGGAUCAUUUCAAAUCACAAACAACAUGCUACAUUUGUUGCAGAACAUGGGACUCUUCUCAGGGUCACAUAUUGAAGAUCCUCAGCAGCAUCUGAAGAAUUUCCUGUCGAUAUGUGUCACGCAAAGGCAACCUAAUGUGACACCGGACGCAAUAAAGCCGUUAUUGUUCCCAUUCUCGGUGAUAAGAGAAGCUCAGACCUGGAUUAAUUCACUCCCCAUAAACUCCAUCACUACUUGGGAGGAAUUAGUCAAGCAAUUUUUGAACAAAUUCUUCCCACCCAAUAAAACUGCCCAACAAAUUAAUGAUAUAUUGAGCUACAGGCAGAGACCAACAGAAUCACUACAAGAAAUGUGGGAUAGGUUCAAGGGUAUGCUGGUUAAGUGUCCACAUCAUGGCAUUCCAUAUCAGAUGUUGGGGCAGAGAUUCUACUUGGAACUGGCUGACGGCUUAAAGGCUAAUGUUGAUGCUUCAGCAGGUGGAGCAUUUUUGAGUAAAACAUUCAGAGAAUGCAAGAUCCUACUUGAUAAGAUGGCUUAAAACUCAAGAUGGAUGACAAGAGCCUCUAUGAUCACUCCGGUAGUUCACUCAGUGACUUUGGACCCAAACAACUCCAUAGCUGAGAAUAUGGCCACUCUAAUGACACAAAUACGUAUCCUCACCAAGAAGAUUGAUAAAUCAGGCCAGAAGUAGCAGGUUCACAUAGUUGACGCAACUAAUGGGGGCUCAUGUACACCAUGCAUUAACCAACCAUAUGUUUGUUCGUGGAGUGCGGAAGGUGACAACCAACACUAUCAAGGAGAUAUGAAUUAUGUAGCCAACUAUGGGGGACAGAGGCAAGGUGGUCAGAAUUGGGGUCAACAGAAUCAACAAUAUAGACCAGCGCAGCAGCAGUACAAUAACAACAACAAUCCUAGAACUAUGCGACCAUUGGGUCAAGUUAUGCCUUACCAAAGGCAACAGGGUUACAACCAGCAAAAUCAGCAGCUGACUUAUCAACAACCUCAAUAACAACAGAUUAUGAGACAAGAUGAUGGUUUUACUGAACUUAAGGGAAUGCUGGACAGCAACAACAGAAUGCUGCAACAACUGAUUGGGUCCACGGGAAAAAUGCAUCAGAGAGUAGACUCACAUGAAUCAGCGAUAAAGGGUAUUGAGAUUCAAUUAGGACAGAUUUUUAUGGCUCUAAACAAUCGUCCCCAAGGGACGUUACCUGCAGACACACAAAUCAAUCCAAAAGAACAGGGCCUAAAACAGCUUAUGGCAGUGAGUCUACGAAAUGGUAGAGACCUAGAUCUGGAGCAAGAGAUGGCUCGCGAAAGCCGACCUACUGAUACACUUGUGCCAGUACCCAUUGAGAUAGAUGAUUCAACAGGGUUGACAGAGGUGAAGGUACAAUACGCGCCAGCUGAAUCAAGCAAAGAAAAAGAAGUCCCGAAGGAAAAUGAGUCAGUGCAAGAGAAGGCAGUAGAAACAGUGCCAGAGCUGGUUCAAAAUCAAAUCACAGGAAAAAAGUGGCAUCCAUCACCCUUCCCCCAGAGAUUGGACAAAUAUCAAAAAUAUGAGCAGUAUAAGAAAUUCUUGGAGAUGUUGAAACAAAUUCAGGUUAACAUUCCAUUGAUUGACGCCUUAAAGGAAAUGCUUGGUUAUGCAAAAAUGAUGAAGGACUUGAUGUCUCGUAAGUUCGAAUUUCAAGACUUGGCCACGGUUACACUGACUCAGACAUGUAGUGUUGUUGUGACGAGACCUAUAGCUGAGAAGUUAUCUGAUCCAGGGAGUUUCAUAAUCCCACGCACAAUAGGCAACUAUGCAUUUGCUAAGGCACUUUGUGAUUUGGGGCAAGCAUAAACUUGAUGCCCUUGGUAUCUAUAAAAGGUUAGGCAUUGGAAGAGCUAGACCCAUGUCCAUGUUACUACAGCUGGCCAACCGGACAGUGAAGAGGCCCUCUGGUAUCCUUGAUGAUGUAUUAGUACAGGUUGGGAAGUUUGUGUUCCCAGCAGAUUUUGUCAUUCUAGACUGCCGGAUUGAUGAGGAGAUUCCUAUAAUUUUGGGAAGACCAUUCUUGGCCACUGGGAGAGCUUUAAUCGAUUGUGAGACUGGAGAGCUCAAAAUGAGACUAAAUGAUGAAGAAAUAACAUUCAACGUGUAGAAAUCUAUGCGGCGACCAAGUGAAUUUGCUAACUGCUCUCUAAUAGAAGCCGUGGAUGUAAUUUUGGAGGAGGAAGAUGAAACCUUGAAUGCUAAAGACCCUCUACCAGCUUGUCUCUUGAACAUAGAUAAAGUAAAUGGAGAGGAGGUGACGAAAUGGGUGCUGGCUCUUAAAGGCCAAGGGUUUAGGAAAAGAGAGCUCGAAUAUGAGCCUUUGCACUUAGAAGAAUGAAAAAUUCCUCCAGCUAAGCCAUCGAUAGAAGAGCCACCAAAGUUGGAGCUGAAGCUGCUACCACCUCACCUUAGGUAUGCUUUCUUGGGACCUAACUCAACUUUACCUGUUAUUAUCUCAUCUGGUUUGUUAGAUGUGCAGAAACAAUAGCUUUUGCAGGUAUUGAGUGAGUGCAAAACUAUAAUUGGUUGGACCAUCGCAGACAUUAAGAGUAUCAGCCCGACCUUCUGUAUGCAUAAGAUUCUACUGGAAGAUGGCCACAAACCUUCCAGAGAACAUCAAAGGAGGCCGAACCCCAACAUGAAGGAAGUUGUGAAAAAAGAGGUGAUAAAGUGGUUAGAUGCGGGAAUCAUUUUCCCCAUCUCCGACAGCAACUGGAUCAGCCCAGUCCAAUAUAUGCCUAAGAAUGGUGGGAUGCAUGUAGUGCAAAACGAGAACAAUGAGUUGAUAUCAACAAGAACAGUCACGGGAUGGCGAAUUUGUAUGGACUACAGAAGAUUGAACAAGGCCACCCGAAAAGACCAUUUCCCCUUGCCAUUCAUUGAUCAAAUACUAGAUAGAUUGGCGGGGAAGUCCCGCAUUUGCUUUCUAGAUGGAUACUCAGGGUAUAAUCAAAUCUCCAUUGCCCCGGAAGAUAGAGAGAAAAUAUCAUUCACCUGUCUAUAUGGCGUCUACGCCUUUCGGAGGAUGUCGUUCGGCCUAUGCAAUGCACCCGCCACAUUUCAAAGGUACAUGAUGGCCAUCUUCACUGAUAUGGUUGAGGACAUCAUGGAGGUAUUUAUGGAUGAUUUCUCGGUGGUGGGAGACUCAUUCAAUGAUUGCCUAAGGAAUUUGAAAAGAGUGCUGAAAAGAUGUGUCGAGACGAAUCUGGUACUCAACUAGGGAAAGUGCCAUUUCAUGAUACAUGAAGGUAUAGUCUUGGGGCACCUAGUGUCGAGUAAGGGCAUUGAGGUAGAUCGUGCCAAGGUUGAUGUGAUCGAAAAGCUUCCACUACCCGCGUCCGUUAAAGCAAUAAAAAGUUUCCUAGGCCAGGCCGACUUCUAUAGAAGAUUUAUAAAAGAUUUUUCCAAAAUUGCUAACCCCUUGUGUAAAUUUCCUGAAAAAGAUCACCCUUUUGUGUUUUUUGAUGAUUGCAGGGUAGCUUUUGAGGAAUUGAAGAAGAGGCUGGUGAUAGUACCCAUCAUGGUUGCACCUGAUUGGGAGCAACCAUUUGAGCUAAUGUGUGACGUAAGUGACUAUGCUAUGGGAGCACUACUUGGACAACGCAAAGAUAAAGUCAUGCAUCCAAUAUAAUAUGCUAGUAGAACUUUGAGUGGUGCCCAACUAAAUUACACGUUGACUGAGAAAGAGAUGCUAGCAGUGUUGUUCGCAUUUGACAAAUUUAGGUCAUACCUGAUAGGCUCUAAGGUAAUUGUUUAUACUGACCAUAAUGCUCUCAGGUACUUAAUUGAUAAGAAGGAUUCAAAGCCGCGCCUGAUUCGAUGGGUGCUACUACUGCAAUAAUUUGACUUGGAAAUCCGUGACCGAAAGGGAACAGAGAACCAAAUGGCUGAUCACUUGUCCAGGCUGGAAGGAGCCGAGAAGAAGGUUGACGUGGAAGAGAUUGUGGAGACCUUCCCGGAUGAAAAACUACUAGCCACGAGUCUUGAGGUAGCGCCAAGGUAUGCAGACAUUGAAAACUACCUAGCAAGCGGUAUUGUCCCCUAUGACCUUUCUUCUAUUCAAAAGAAAAAGUUCUUUCGCGACUGUCGCAUGUAUUAUUGGGAUGAGCCUUAUCUGUUCAGAAUUUGUGUUAAUAACAUGAUCCGGAGGUGUAUCCCCGAGAUAGACUAAUCUUCUAUUUUGCAGGCGUGUCACGCGUCACGCGUCACUAUAUGGUGGCCAUUUCGGGGGAGUAAGGACAGCUGCGAAAGUCUUGGAUUCGAGCUUCUACUGGCCGACAUUGUUCAAAGAUGCACACUUAUGGGUGAAAGUUUGUAAUGAAUGCCAAUGAAUCGGGAAUAUUUCCCGCCGACAUGAGAUGCCUAUGAACCCAAUUCAGGAGGUAGAAGUAUUUGAUGUAUGGGGAAUCUAUUUCAUGGGGCCUUUCAUCAACUCAUAUGGCAACAAGUACAUACUCGUAGCUGUGGACUACGUGUCCAAAUGGGUAGAGGCUGCAGUGCUCCCUACAAAUGAUGCAAAUGGGGUAAUUGGUUUCUUGAGAAAGAAUAUAUUCACCCGAUUUGGCACUCCAAGGGUAAUAAUCAGUGACGGAGGCACUCACUUCUGUAAUCGAGACUUCGCAAAGUUGUUAGAAAAGUAUGAUGUACGCCACAAGUUCGCCACCCCAUACCAUCCACAAAUGAGUGGGCAAGUGGAAGUUUCGAACAGAGAGUUAAAAAGCGUUUUUAACAAAGACUGUGAAUGCUACAAGAACGGAUUGGGCGAGAAAGCUAGAUGAUGCACUCUGGGCCUAUCGUACCACUUUUAAAACUCCGAUUGGCAUGUCGCCAUAUAAAUUAGUGUUUGGGAAGGCGUGUCACUUACCAGUGGAGUUGGAGCAUAGAGCUUUGUGGCAUUGAGGCAGCUUAAUCUUGAUAUAGAAGUUGCAGGUACAAGUAGAGUCACAGAGUUGCACGAGCUUGAUGAGUUUUGCUACCAUGCUUUUGAGAGCACAAGAUUAUACAAGGAGAGAAUAAAAAUGAUGCAUGAUAAAAAUAUUCUUGAGCAGAGUUUUAAACCCGGAUAUAUGGUAUUGCAAUACAAUUCAAGAUUGAGGUUAUUUUCGGGUAAAUUAAAGUCAAGAUAGUUAGGACCAUUUAGUAUGGUAGAGAUUCACACGACCGGAACCGUAGAGAUUGCUGCAGCAAAUGCCUCUCGCACGUUUAGAGUCAAUGGGCACAGGUUAAAACAUUAUUUGGGCAUGAAAGAUGCGAAAGUAGUGUCGAUGACUCAUUUUCUCGAGCCAACAAGGUUAAGCGAGCCUUAAGUGCAAUUAUCCGCAUCGUGCCGCGACGUUAAAUCAGGUGCCUCAUGGGAGGCAACCCAUUGUAAUGUUCUAAUGUUGUAUUCGUCGUGCCACGACAUUAACUGAGGCGCUCGUUGGGAGGCAACCCAAUUUGUAGUUUAUUUUUAGUGUAGUUAGAAUUUUUCUUUUCAUUUUUAGGUACUUACAAGUUUGCAGGUGAUUUUGGGUGAGACGAGCAGAGCUUUAAGCGUCACAUAUUGGAAACUAGGAAACGUAGCUUGCAUUGCGAGGGGUAAGGCCAGGUAGAGCUGGCGUUUGAGCUCGCGCCACUAGAGGUGAAGCCAGGUGAACCAGGCUCUAAGGCUCGCGUCGCCAGAGGUGAGGCCAGGUACUUCGCGUGUCAGGCUCGUGCAGCAAGCCUCCAGGCUCGUGUUUGAGCUGGCGAGGCGAGGUAUUACGCGAGGUUAUGCACCAGGAGACUCCAGGUAAGUUUUUAUUUUCGGCCACUUUUAAUUUUUCUCCCUUAUUUUAUUCGAACCUCCUCACUUACACGCCCAAAGUACUGAACAAAAUACAAAAACCCUAACCUAACUUAGACCAAACACACAACAAAAGAAAAAAAUCUCAAACACCCUUCACCCUUCACCAGGUUUGCUCUCACCACUGCACAAUACUGCACAAAUCUCCCCUUGUCUCACCAGCAAUUUUCAGGCAACUCCUUCCCCUCAAAAGCUUCUAAGGUAUGAUUCUUCUCUCUUUCCCUUGCAAUUUUGAGUUGGGUAAAGGUAUGCAAUUACACGCGAAAUUUGGUGGUUGUUCUUCAUUGUAGUAUUGUGUUUCUGUGUCCUAACCCCAAGAACCCCAUAGGAAUGGUGCUGUGAUUGUAUGAACAUGUGGUAGUACGAAACUCCCAAGCCGAUUUGGGAGGGUGAGGCAAUCCUUCAUCCCUAUAAGCACUCCCAUGGCACUAGUUGCAUGCUAAGUGUUUGCUAUAAUGCCUCAAUGGCAUUCCUUGUCCCCAUUGGAUCCCGAGUCUCCGGGAUUAAUAGACUAGUGUUGUGUAGUCAUACACCACAUUAAAAUCUUAAGUGUGGGGUGGCUCACGGGUAGCCCAUGUGUUGUUGUUUGAUUCUAACGUUAAGAAAAUACGAGGUGAAGUCUGAGUAACCUCGGAAAGUUGGGCAAGACUAUGUGUGUAAUGUGUAAUACAAUUUUAACUGAUUAAUGAUUACUUGUGUAGGAACGAAGAUGCCUCCAAGAAAAGACACAAUAAAAGGAAAGACUACUUCCACUGCUCCGGCUAAAGCAAAGGCGACCUCCGCGCCUCCUCCAAAGAAGAGAAAAUGGGGAGAAGCUACCUCCAGUCUGAGUGGAGCACAAGAUGUGGCAGCUGUAGCAGCCAUACAUCCACAACCCCAAGGCCAACGGGAGUUUGGCAUCAACAGCAUACCCCCGCAUACUAAGGAUUGGUACAGGCGCUGUAGGCCUAAACAUGUACAACCGGAAGCAGCUAUCCAUGAACGCAGCUUGAAAGCAAAGUAUCAGGCAAUUUGGAGGGGCAUCCAGGAUUUGGGGUUGAACUAUGUAUUCAAGAACACAGGGGAUAUUAAUCUCAAUCUAGUCCGGGAAUUCUAUGCAGGGUUUUAUCCACUAGAUACUGAACAGCUGGUGCCGAUUCGUGGACGAUUGAUAGAGUUUUCAUCCACGGCCAUAUAUAACUUUUUAGGUGCUCCGGAUGUUCCUGUGGAGCCAUUGAACCACUUCAUUUGUCGGCCUACAUAUAGAGAGCUAUGACACACGCUUUGUGGUGUCGAUUCUACGGCAGCAUAGGUCAGGGAUAAGAAGACAAAUCGGCACAAGAGGUUCCCCAAGAAGAAGAUGAGGGUGGAGGCUCAAGUGUGGCUUACACUGAUAAAUGCAUGGCUCCUACCGUGCAAUCAUGAUACGCUCAUUAGUCGUGAAAGGACCUGUGCGCUCUAAUUCCUCAUGACAGGUCAAAGGGUGAAUGUGGGUCAUCUGAUCCGCUACCAGAUAUCUUUAGUCAGAACGAGUAAUAAGGUCGAUCGAAUGCCAUUUGCCAAUUUUUUAACUCAGUUCUUAAGACACGAGGAGGUUGCGGAGGAGCCAGAGUUUGACCACACCAUUGAUCAGCCCCUACGACAAACAGACAUCACUAGUCUCCGGCUGAAAGAAGAGAAUGCCAUGACAUCUUUGACAGGUGACGAGCGCAAUGCUCGUGAUGAUAGUUUUAUGGCCCAUCUCUAUGGGAUGAUGGAUUUGUAGCUGAGGAUAGGGGGUCGGCCGGCUACAUCUAAGGAGAGGACCUUAUUGGAGCAGUGGUACCCGCUCAAUGCUCAUGCCCAGCAGCUGGUUGGGAUAGGUGAUGGCUACAGACUUCUCGAUGAUGAGGAUAUCAACACACCUGAGUAGUCUGAGGCCGAGCUGGAACAGUCUGAUGAUGAGGACGAUGACGAUGAUGAGGAAGAAGCACAGGAUGAAGAGUGGAGAGCCUCAGAGGAUGAGGACGCAGUUUGAUCAGGGAGUUUCCUUGCACUCUACUCAUUUUUCUUGUUUUGUAAAUUUGUUCAUGCACUGAGGACAAUGCAUGAUCUAAGUGUGGGGUGGGGACUUGUAGAAAUUACUUGUAGUUGCUUGUUUUUGUUGUUUUAGUAAGUGUCUUUUUCGUUAGAUAAUUGUUUUAGUUAUUUGUUUUAGUGAUUUGGUUUCAGUGAUUUGUUCUGUUAUUUGUUGUAGUUAGAAUAUAUAUAUAUAUAUAUAUAUAUAUAUAUAUAUAGAACAACUGGACUAUUCCCACGAUGGAUCUCCUAGACAGUUUUCUUGAGGGAAGUAAGUCGAAGGAAAAAUACCAAAAAGAUUUUCUUGUAGGUAGUGUAGUAAGUCCCCCUUGGUUUUUCUUUUGGGCACGGUUCUUUUCGAGGGUUUAUUUUUUUAGUUGAACCGGGUGUAGUUAGUUUUAAUUUUUAGGAGUAGGAACUACGGAGCUAUGCAUUUAAUUAUAGCAAUAUCUCUUAGCUUUGUUAUGCCUUGAGAAUAGUUAGUACUAUGGUUGUGACGCCUAGGCUCGGUUUUUGACUCUAGCAUAAGUACCUUAAAUCGUAGAUUCCUAAUUUUGCUUAAUUGCUUUGACUAGAGUGUCGCGAUAAAACCAAUCCUGAGUGAGUUAUGUGUCAUGUCUGUGUGAGGUUUGGUAUAUAUUCUAUACAUUGCAUUUGAUGUCUAGAACUUUCUCCAUGUGUGUGCGAAGCAAAAUAGUAGUAUUGUUCAGUCUAGGAAGUGAUAUAGGCAACUUUGUUAAGCCAAAUAUAUAAAGUUUACCCACCUAAAUGUUAUGUAUCGUAGUUAACCCCGUUGAGCCGCUAAUCCUGUUUCUUUGGUAACCACGUUACAAGCCAUACCCCUUUGUUUUAAUAGAUCAUAUAAUUGAACCUUGUCACCUUUCAUGAGCACUUAUUGUGAUGAAUUAUGAAAAAGUUAAAGUGUGGGGUGGUGGGUUGGCUUUUGAGUGGAACAAUUGAAAUAAGGAGAAAGGUGCAUUGUUUUGAGAAAAAAAAGUUAUCAAUAAAAGCCACUUGAAGCAAAAACAAAUAGUGAGAAAAAAAUGAUAAUAGUUUAUUGUAUGAAAAAUAAGUCUUGAUGAUGGUGGCUAGUGAUAUACUCGUGUGCAUUAAAGUAUAUGUAUUAAAGUGCUUAAGGGAGGUGUAGUCGCUCAUAUCCAAAUGUAUCCUACCCGACCCGAAGCCUACAUUACAACCAAUGAAUGUCCUACUUGAUAUUNNNNNNNNNNNNNNNNNNNNNNNNNNNNNNNNNNNNNNNNNNNNNNNNNNNNNNNNNNUCGUUGACCUCUAUGUUAGAGUAAGUAAGUGAAUUGUGAAUAAGGCAUGGUAUUUGUGAGUCAAAUCUUGAGGGGAGGAUGCCACACCUUUGUGCUUAAACUAUUUUAAAGAUUCUUGGUAUAAUGAGUUGAGGGAAUUGCCUAAUAGGUUGUGUCUAUAAGUGUAGUUUGAUUGCUCGAGGAUGAGCAAUGUUUAAGUGUGGGGAAUUGAUGUGCGGCUAUAAUUCAUGGUUUAGCACACUAUUCACCUUACAUUUUAUAUGAUUUAAUGAUAAAUUAUACUUUAUUUGCUCGUAAUUAAGUCCAUUUUAUGUGUAGGCGAAUUGGAGAUGAAAGUAGAGCAAAAGGGAUACUUAAAAGUUGAAAGUGUGCUCGGGAGCAAUUGAAAAGGAGAAUCUGGUGAAGACAGGCCUACACCAGGCCUUAUACCUGGCGACGCCAGGCUUGUAGCUGGUGAGAGACCUGGCGAGGCGGGGCAGAAGGCGAGAUUAACCAGGCCUUAUACCUGGCAACGCCAGGCCUGGGGCGAGGUCCACCAGAUGUUAGGCCUCGCGAGGCCAGGUCUGGGCGUGCACAAUCCGAGUUUUGAAGACUUAUUUCGUCUCUGGGUUUGACUAGGACUUUUCCUAUAUGUUUAGGUCUUUUCCUACACAUAUAAAUAAACCUAAAAACGCCACUUUUGAGGACUUUUGCAACCGGAGGCAAGAAUAGCUUGUGGAAUCACUCUUUGGGAGUUAGAAUCAUCGAUUUUUACAUCCUUUCAUCUUUACUUUGUAAUUUAAUUAUUAAAAUUAUUUUGGAUAUUGUUACUAUGAGUAUGAGUAGCUAAAUUCCUAGUAUAAGGUUUUGAUGGAACCUAUUGAAGGAUGAUUUUCUUGUUACGUUAAUAUAAAUUUGCCGUAGUAUUUUCUCUAUUUGUUCAACUAUAUUAUUUAUGUGGUUGAUUGAAGGGCCCUCAAUUAGCUGUGCCUAUUUAGUAUUUAUUACUCGGGAGAGAGUGCAAUUUAGGUAGUUAUUGAACAACAUCACUUCUAUCGUAUAUGAGAGAUCAAUACGAAGGGUUUAAAGGUGGGAUUAGAGAUAACAAAACCUUGGUGCGAUCUGAGUGAGCCGUACUUAAUGCCAGCUAGAGUAAUUCGACAGAAUAUGUCUAGUAAAUUAUGGUAAUUACUCGGGAGAGAGUUACGACAGUCAUAGUACUCAUGAUCGAUAGAGAAGAAUUAGGCGAAUCUAUAGAAAACGUAGCGUACAAGAUUCCGACAAUAGGGGAAAUCAAAACCUUAGAUCAUUCCAAUUCUUGUUUACAAACCAUUUAUAGUUAGUUAUUUAUUAUUGCAUUUUCAUUACGUAAUAUUUAGUUAAUUAACUUCCAAAUUAUUAUUGAAAUAUUUCUGAAGAUUGAUUGCAUGAAUUUGUGCGAGUCUAGCAGUUGUGGUUGAUAGGUUAAUUUCCUAUGGGAUUCGACUCCGGACUUAUUAGCCGCAAUAUAUUUGCGACGACCGCAUAGUCCUUUUUAUAAGGCAUAGUUGGGCAUGAUCAAAUUUUGGCGUUGUUGCCGGGGAAUUAACGGUGUUAUUAAUUGCAGCUAAAAGAAGUGCUAAAAUUCUUAGUGUAGUCAAUUUUCUUCAUUCUAAAUCAAAUACAUUGAAAUUCUAACGUCUGUAGCCUUGGGUGCUACAGGUGCAUGCCUAGGAACUCCUCAAGAACUGGUGUACUGCUCGAAGCGUUAUCAGAUCCUAAGAAAGUUUUCAAGGCACUAAGUCGUGCAAACAAGAAAAGCAAACAGCAACAAAACUUGACAGAACAAAUCGAACUAGACAUGGAUGACAGAAUAGAAAAUCCAAUUAACAACAGAAACAAUGCGAAUGAACCAAACAAUUAGGGUGUGGUGCCUCUUGUACCAGAAGCAGCAUUAUAUGAUUGGGCACAACCCACCGUCAACAAUCUCGCAACCGCAAUUGUAGUCCCUCAAAUACAAGCGGAAUCAUUUCAAAUCACAAACAACAUACUACAUUUGUUGCAGAACAAGGGACUAUUCUCAGGUUCACACAUUGAAGAUCCUCAGCAUCAUCUGAAGAAUUUCCUGUCGAUAUGUGUCACGCAAAGGCAACCUAACGUGACACCAAAUGCAAUAAAGUCGUUAUUAUUCCUAUUCUCGGUGACAGGAGAAGCUCAGACUUGGCUUAAUUCACUUCCCAUAAACUCCAUCACUACUUGGGAGGAAUUAGUCAAGCAAUUUUUGAACAAAUUCUACCCACCCAAAAAACCUGCCAAACAGAUUGAUGAUAUAUUGAGCUACAGGCAGAGACCAACAAAAUCACUACAAGAAAUGUGGGAUAGGUUCAAGGGUAUGCUGGUUAUGUGUCCACAUCAUGGAAUUCCAGAUCAGAUGUUGGGACAGAGAUUCUAUAUGGGACUGGCUGACGGCUUAAAGGCCAAUGUUGAUGCUUCAGCAGGUGGAGGAUUUUUGAGUAAACCAUUCGGAGAAUGCAAGAUCCUACUUGAUAAGAUGGCCCAAAACUCAGGAUGGAUGACAAGAGCCUCUAUGAUCACUCCGGUAGUUCACUCAGUGGCUUUGGACCCAAACAACUCCAUAGCUGAGAGUAUGGCCACUCUAAUGACACAAAUGAGUAUCCUCACCAAGAAGAUUGAUGAAUCAGGUCAGAAGCAGCAGGUUCACAUAGUUGACGCAACUAAUGGGGGCUUAUGUACACCAUGCAUUAACCAACCAUAUGUUUGCUCAUGGAGUGCAGAAGGUGACAACCAGCACUAUCAGGAAGAUAUACAUUAUGUAGCCAACUAUGGGGGAUAGAGGAAAGGUGGUCAGAAAUGGGGUCAAUAGAAUCAACAAUAUAGACCAGCGCAGCAGCAGUACAAUAACAACAACAACCCUAGAACUAUGCGACCACUGGGUCAAGUUGUGCCUUACCAAAGGCAACAGGGUUACAACUAGCAAAAUCAGCAGCUGACUUAUCAACAACCUCAACAACAACAGAUUAUGAGACAAGAUGAUGGUUUUACUGAACUUAAGGGAAUGAUGGACAACAACAAUAGAAUGCUGCAACAACUGAUUGGGUCCACGGGAAAAAUGCAUCAGAGAGUAGACUCACAUGAAUCAGUGAUAAAGGGUAUUGAGAUUCAAUUAGGACAGAUUUCUAUGGCUCUAAACAAUCAUCCCCAAGGGACGUUACCUGCAGACACACAAGUCAAUCCAAAAGAAUAGGGCCUAAAACAGCUUAUGGCAGUGAGUCUACGAAAUGGUAGAGAAUCUGGAGCAAGAGAUGUCUCGCGAAAGCCGACCUACUGAUACACUUGUGCCAGUACCCAUUGAGAUAGAUGAUUCAACAGGGUUGACAGAGGUGACGGUACAACAUGCGCCAGCUAAAUCAAGCAAAGAAAAAGAGGUCUCGAAGGAAAAUGAGUCAGUGCAAGAAAAGGUAGUAGAAACAGUGCCAGAGCAGGUUUGGUGCCUCCGGGAUUUAGUAGCCCGAAUUGUCCGAACAUUUUUUGGACGACAGUCCCCGAGUGAGGUUAGCCCUUGGGAUCGAUAGUCCCCGAAUAGGGGUAGCCUGUGGGAUCUUAGGAUCCGAAAUUUAAGAGGCAAGAAAAUGUGUAAUAGCAAGGCAGAACUUUCUUUCAUUUUUGUGUGUAAAGUACAUGGUCGAAAAUUCGUAAAAUUUUGUGUCAUGGCUAAAAUGGACUAUGUGGGCACGGUUCACACAACUGUUUGUCCCUUACAAAUGAAUCCUAACCACCGAGCCUUGGCUUCUAGCAUACGAGGUUUUACUUUUUUCCUUGCUGAAAACCUUAAUCCGAGGGUAAUGGCUCCCAGUAUCUGAGGUCGAGCUUGAGAGGGCUCGGAUACUAUGGAUGUGAAAUGAACGCCCGUAGACUCCGAUAUGAGACCGGCCUUCGAAUCUAAGUUAGCACGUUUUACUGUUGCCUAGUUAAAAACCUUGUAGAAAAACCCAUUUUGGGACAAAAUCAGUUCAAGGAAAAAAGAGUGCAACACGUGCUUUCAGACCUAAUAGCCACAUCCAUUCUUGAGUGUUGCCUGCAAGUGUUAGUUCGAUUUAUAACAUAAUUACAGAGUAGUUGGGAUCGUACCUUAGCAUUAGUACCGUUUUAAGUGUGUCACGUUCUAAUUGUUCGGUAGUUGCACACUGUUUCUCGCCUCGAGUUUGUAUGAGCCUUUACUGGUUAUUCUGAUGACUCGAUACGAUCCUUCACAGUUCGAUCCCAGAUUUCCCUCGUUCGAGUUACGGGUGUGUAAUUUUACUUUCCUCAACAUCAGGUCCCCGAUCGUGAAGUGCCGGAGGUUGGCUCUUAGGUUGUAGUAUCUUUCUAUCUGUUGUUUUUGGGCGGUCAACAUGACUAAAGCUGCAUCACUCCUUUCAUUCAAUAAUUCUAGGCUCGUGACCAUGGCCUUUCCACUUGACUCUUCGGUUGCAUAUUGGAAUUUAAGGCUUGGCUCUCCCACCUCGACUGGUAUCAAGGCUUCGGCCCCGUAGACCAACAAAAAUGGAGUGGCCCCGGUACUGGACUUCGAGGUUGUACGAGAUGCCCAUAGGACUUCAGGCAAGAUUUAUUUCCAUUUCCCUUUGGUAUCGGUCAACCUCUUUUUUAGGUUUUGAAGUAUGGCCUUGUUUGUUGACUUUGCCUGUUCGUUCCCACUAGGGUGGUAAGGUGUUGAAAGUAUUGUAAUGACCUGGUCGUUCGUUCUGAGAGUUAUAGCCCUAUUUCCCCCAUCUAUGCUUAUUUAUGUGUUGUUCAGUUGUGUUGCAUUGUGUCGAGUUGGUAGGUUUGGGUUCGGAGUAGUUUUGGAGUGAAAUGAACACUUAGUCUCUUAGUUAGAAAGCUAAGUUAGAAAAGUCAACUGGAAGUUGACUUAUGAGUAAACAAAUUCGGAUUUAGAUUUUUAUGAUUCGAUUGGCUUCAUUGGGUGAUUUUAGACUUAGGAGUGUGUACGAAAUGUAAUUUGGAGGUCCGUGGUAGAAUUAGGCUUGAAUUGGCGAAAGUUGAAAGUUUAGAAGUUCUUAGGCUUGAAUCCGAGGUUGAUUUGGUGUUUCGGUGUUGUUUUGGGUGUUCCGAAGGUUCAACUAAGUUCGAGUAGUGAUAUAUGACUUGUUGGAAUUAUUGGUUGAGGUCUCGAGAGCCUCAGUGAGUUUCGGAUAGGUUUGGGUUGUGUUGCGCUCGUUUUUCUUAUGUUUCGACGUCGUUUCUUCAAGCAUAAAUGAUAUCAUAUUGAAUAAAUGAGCUUUGAUUUCUUUUUUUGAUUGAAGCAUUAGAUCCGUAUCGCAAUUAAGGACCCGUAGAAAAAAAAGAAUCGUUGAAUUUGGACAUCGUAUGAGGAUUUUGUGGUCAUUUUACUAAGAAUUGGGUUGCUAGAUUUUUAAAUUAAUUACGAAAUUGCCACUGACGGCGUAUUUAAAAAUCUGCACUAUUUGCAAAUAUUGAAACCAACAAUAUCUCAUUCAUUAUAAGGUCAAAUUGAGUGAUUCAAAAGUCCAACUUGAUUAGAAUUUCACAAGGUAAUCAUAUAAAAUGAGAGUUUGUUCAUUCGGUCAUAUUUUGAGUUGGGGAGCUUGGAUUUGGGCGAUUUGGGGGCGAUUUUCACCAUAUGGAUUGGGGUAAUUGUUCUCUACUCAAUUUUGGUUAUAUUUCAUGAAUCCAUCUUCGUUUUUGGGAUUUGAUUGAUGAUUUCAAAGUGAAAUUGAGGGAGUUAGGGUUUGAGUUUUGGAGAGUUUAAGUAAGGAUUUGAGGGACCAAAUAGAGUCCAAUUUUAAUUAAUUUUAUAUGGUUAGACUCGGGAGAGGAUGAGGUUUAUUAUUCUACCAUUUUGACUGAUUUCGAGACGUGGGCCCGGGGGCCAAAUUUUGGCCGGUUUCAGAUUUUUGGCAUAUUUUGUAGUUUUUAUUGUGGAAUUCGAUUCGUUAGCCUAUGUUGAUGGUAUUAAUCUGAUUAUGGUUAAAUUUGGAGCUUUUGGAGACCGAGUCUAGAGACGAGGGCAUCCUGGAGUAGGAUUUUACGCUAUUAAGGUAAGUAACAGUUUUAAAUCUGGCUUUGAGGGUAUAAACCUGGAGAAUUUGAUAUCGUGUGACUGUUUAGAGGUGAUACCCACGCUAGGUGACGGGUGUGUGGGUGUAUACCUCGAGGGAUUGCGACUUUGUCCGUCCCGUGAGGCCUCAUGGCCAUCAUCUGUGUUUACGUAGUUACUUGUUGUUGAACUUGUGUGCCUUCAUGUUAGAGAUCAUGCUUAGGCUUUAUUCAUGCUCACAUUAUUUGUACUCAGUCAUAGAAAUUACUGUACAUGUUUACCUCAGUCUCUAUUAUUUGCUAAUAUACUAUGAUACUUGAUGUGGGCUGUGUUCCCUUAUUUGUUGAUGAUGGUGAGGCUAGUGAGGUACAUGAUUGAGUGAGGCCGAGGACCUGGUUGUGAGGAUAUUAAUACCAUAGAGCGUGAGUUAUCCGCGUAGCAUGUGAGUUGACCGUGCGGAUCCAGGUAUUGAUAUGAUGGCACCUGAGUUGUCCGUGCUUAGCGCUUGGGCUUUGGAGCCCCUCCGAAGUCUGUACACACCCCCAAUGAGCGCAGAGUGUUGAGCGUUGAGUGAUGAGUGCGAGUGCUGAGUGAUGGAAUGACAUUACUGUGAGGUUGCAUUUACUUUUGUUGUUGCUGCAUUUACCUGUUAAUUUUUCUUGUAGUCUUACUGAUUUAUGAAAUUACCUGUCUACUCCUGUUUGUACUUAAUUGUGGAAAUAAUAAUUGGAUUAUUCUGCUUAGCUCGUCACUACUGCUCAGUUCCUUAGUUAUUUAAGUUUCUACUGAGNNNNNNNNNNNNNNNNNNNNNNNNNNNNNNNNNNNNNNNNNNNNNNNNNNNNNNNNNNNNNNNNNNNNNNNNNNNNNNNNNNNNNNNNNNNNNNNNNNNNNNNNNNNNNNNNNNNNNNNNNNNNNNNNNNNNCACUUUAUGUGCAGAUCCAGGUGAGUUAGAAGGCGGUGAUCGUUGAGUUCAGGCCGACUAUCUUUGGAGACUGCAAGGUAGCUGCUAGCGUCUGCAGGACCUUGUUACUCCUUUUGUCAUUUCUUCUUUUGGACAGUUAGACAGUUUAUAUAUCUUAGUUUAUAGUUUUAGACGCUCAUGACUUAGUGACACCCCGAUGCUUGGGGCUCGUUUUCGUAUUUUCUAUAAUUAUAUUUAGAUUUGAUUUAGUUUAUGAAAAAUUCAAAUGUUGGAAAUAUUUUAUUAAAUUCUUAUAAUCAAUUUAAUAGUAAUACUUUGGGAAAUAGGUUUGCCUUGUAACACAAUAGGCGCCAUCACGACCAUGGUUAGAUUUUGGGUCGUGACAAGUAUCUUUUUAAUUUUGUGAUUUUUAAAACAUUUGUUUACCUUGCUGCCGAUGAAUUGCUUCCCAUUUAUCCCAGACCUUUUUGAAUGCUUGGGCCUCGACCAUUUGGAAAAAUAGUCAGUCAUGAAUAGUACAAAUUAAGCUUUACCGCGUGUCCAUGGCAGGGGACCGACGAUGUCCAUCCCCUAUUUCAUAAAUGGUCAUGGGGACAGGACCGAGUGUAGUAGCUCCCCCGACUGAUGGAUCAUCGGUGCGUAUCUCUGGCAGCCGUCGCAUUUUCAUACAAAGUCUUUCACAUUCUUCUCCAUUUCGGUCCAAUAAUAGCCAGCCCUGAUUAAUUUCCGAACCAAAGAUUCUUCCCCCGAAUGGUCCCUGCAAGUGCCUUUGUGAACUUCUCUCAAGGCGUACUUGGUAUCUCCCAGCCCCAAGCAUCUAGCUAACGGGUCGUCGAAUGUUCUUCUGAACAAUGUCCCUUCGACCAAGCUAAAUCUGGCAGCCUUGGUACGUAGGGCUCUCGAUUCUUUACAAUCCGAGGGCAGUUUCCCAGUUUUCAAGUAGUCUAUGUACUUGUUCCUCCAAUCCCAUGUUAAACUCAUUGAGUUUACUUCGGCAUAACCUUCUUCUACCACAGACUUCAUAAGUUGUACGACUGUUCCUGAACUGAAUUCAUCAUCAUCAAUCAAUGACCCCAAGUUAGCCAGAGCAUCAGCCUCGCUAUUUAAUCUCGGGGCACGUGUUGCAGGGUCCAUUCCUUGAAUUGAUGUAGCAUUAACUGUAACUUGUCUAAAUACCUUCACAUUCAUUCCUUUUUUACUUCAAACGCCCCAUUGACUUGAUUUACCACAAGAAUGGAAUCACACUUAGCUUCGACCACCUCGGCCCCAAGGCUUUUAGCCAAUUCAAGACCUACAAUCAUGGCCUCAUACUCGGCCUCAUUGUUAGUCAAUUUCACAGUUCUAAUAGACUGUCUAACUACAUUUCUCGUAGGGGGAUUCAGCACGAUACCGAGCCUGGACCCAUUUGCGUUUGAGGCAUCGUCCGUAAAAAGGGUCCAAAUUCCCGAGGAAGUCCCCGAGGCUAACAAUAAUUCUCUUUCGAAUUCGGGCACUAAGGUCGGUGUAAAGUCGGCCACGAAGUCGGCCAAAAUUUGAGAUUUUAUGGCAGUUCAAGGUCGAUAUUCGAUACCGUACCCACUAAUUUUGACGGCCUAUUUGGCCAACAGACCCGAUAGCUUGGGCUUGUACAUGAUGUUCCUCAGUGGGUAAGAGGUUACGACACAUAUGGGGUGACAUUGAAAGUACGGUUUCAACUUUCUGGAGGCGCUUAGCAAAGCGAACGCCAAUUUUUCCAGAUGAGGAUACCUUGUUUCUGCCUCGCCAAGAGUCCUACUAACAUAGUAAAUGGGGAAUUGCGUGCCUUCCUCUUCCCGGACUAAGACUCCACUUACCGCCACCUCUGAAACCACCAAGUAAAGGUACAACUGUUUAUCCUCCUUCAAAGUAUGGAGUAGGGGGGACUCGAGAGUACUGUUUGAGUUCUUCCAAAGCUUGUUGGCAUUCUGGAUUCUAGGAAAAGUUAUUCUUCUUCUUUAAUAGUGAGAAGAAUCGAUGGCUUUUGUCCGAGGACCUCGAUAUGAAUCGGCCCAAGGCAGCUAUACGCUCGGUCAGCCUCUGAACGGCCUCGACGUUGUCCACCACGGUGAUGUCUUCUAUGGCUUUGAUUUUGUCGGGAUUGAUCUCGAUCCCUCGAUUGGAUACCAUGACCCCAAGGAAUUUUCCGGAUCCGACCCUGAAUGCGCACUUUUUUAGGUUCAGCAUCAUAUUAUAUUUCUUUAAUAUGUUGAAGGUUUUCUGCAAAUGUUUCAGAUGGUCCUCUACUCGCAUGGACUUGACUAUCAUGUCGUCAAUAUAAACUUCCAUUUAUUUUCCUAUAUGUUCUUCGAACAUAUAGUUUACUAGGCGUUAAUAGGUGGCACUGUCGUUCUUUAAUCCGAAUGGCAUUACAUUAUAACAAUAGGUGCCGAACUUAGCUAUAAAGGAAGUUUUUUCUUGAUCACCCGGGUCCAUCUGAAUUUGGUUGUACCCGGAUUAGGCAUCGAGAAAACUGAGUAUCUCGUACCCAUCCAUCGUGUCGAUCAUCCGAUUGAUGUUAGGCAAAGGAAUAGAAUCCUUAGGGCAUGCCUUGUUUAGAUCUUUAUAAUCUACACACAUUCAUAGAUUAUUUCCUUUUUUAGGUAUUACCACUACAUUGGCUAACCAGUCCGGGUACAUAACUUCCCGAAUGGAUCCUAUUUUAAGGAGUUUAGAUACCUCGUCCUUGAUAAAAGCGUGCUUGACUUCGAACUGCGGUCUCAUUUUCUGCUUAACCAGAUAGAACUUCGGGUCCAAACUCAGCUUAUGAGUGGUUACCUCGGGCAGGAUCCCUGUCAUGUCAAGAUGGGACCAAGGGAAACAAUCUAUGUUAGCUAUAAGAAAUUCAAUGAGUUUUUGCCUAAGCUCGGGAGUUAACCUCGUGCCCAGGUAUACCUUCCGGUCGGGCAGGUGUUAGAUCAAUAUGACUUGCUCCAGCUCCUCGACCGUCAAUUUAGUAGCAUUGGAAUCAUCGGGAGCAAUGAAUGACUUAGGAACUCCGUAAUCAUCCUCCAUGCGUACUCCUCGGUCUUCCUUCCUGGUCGGCUCUGUGUUCUUUGAUGUCGAGAUCACGGGCACUGGGAUCACCUCGUCGACCACGAACAUUUCUUUUGUGGCCGGUUACUCUCCAUAGAUCAUCUUAAUUCCUCCCGGCGUAGAUUACUUUAGUGCCUGGUGCAGUGUUAAGGGUACUUCCCUCAUAUUGUGAACCCAUGGCCUUCUAAAUAAGGCGUUAUACCUUAUGUCCCCUUCGAUCACGUAGAAUUUUGUAUCUUGAAUUGUCCUGGCAGUAUUCACUGGCAAGGUUAUUUCUCCCUUAGUAGUUUCGCAUGCCAUAUUAAAUCCAUUCAACACCCGGACCGCCGGUACUAUUUGAUCUUAUAACAUCAGCUCGACGACCCUCGAUCUGAUAAUGUUGGUCGAGCUUUCUGGAUCAAUCAACACACGUUUAACCCGAGAUUUGUUGAUAAGUACGGAUAUAAAAAGUGCAUAAUUAUGAGGUUAUACGAUGCCUUCAACAUCCUCGUCGCUGAACGAAUUAGUUCCCUCCGGAAUGUAAUCUUGGGUGCGCUUUUCCCUAGUAAUGGAUACUUUAGUGCACUAUAUCAUUGGUCUCUGGGGGACAUCAACCCCUCCAAUGAUCAUGUUGAUGGCGUGCUGAGGUUCUUUUUGUUCGGUGUGUUUGUUGGAGUCCCUGUUUCUGAAAUGGUUUUUGGCUCGAUCACUCAUAAAUUCUCAGAGAUGCUCGUUAUUGAAUAGCCGGGCGACCCCUUCUCUCAACUGUCGGCAGUCCUCGGUCAUGUGGCCAUGAGUGCCAUGAUAUUUACACAUCAGGUUAGGAUCCCUAUGGGUAGGGUCAGACUGUAAUGGUCGAGGCCACUUGGUUUCCUUGAUGCGCCCGAUGGCUGAUACGAUGCUGGCUGCAUUGACAUUGAAGUUAUACUCUGAUAAUCUUGAUGCUUCCCUUCCCCCGUGAGGCAUGUCAAAACCAUUUUGCCCAUCAGACCUCAGCUAUUGGGCCCUCGAUCGCCUCUCUUUUUAUUCCCUGUAGAGUUACGCCAAGACUCGUUCCCCUUCGAUCUGCAUUGUAUGGUUGGUACCGAUAUCAGACCGGCCUUGAUUCAUGAUCGACGACUCUCUUAGGCAUGUCGUCAGUUAUGAUGGGAUAAACGGACCCAGAAGGGGCUUUGAGUUGGUCGUCCUCGACUAUGAAUUUUGACUGGUACCUGUUGUGGACGUCGGCCCAAGUUACCGUCGGGUACUCUACCAAGUUUUCUUAAGCUGCUGCAAAGCCAAAGAGCUUCGGGGGUUAAGUCCCUGGGUGAAUGCCUGAAUGGCUCUAUCGUCCGUAGCAGGAGGUAAAUCCAUCUAUUCCAUUUGAAAUCUUAACACGAACUCCCUGAUCAUCUCGUUGUCCUUUUGCUUAACCUUGAAAAGAUCUGAUUUUCUGGUCUUGACCUUGAUGGCACCGACAUGAGCCUUUACAAAGGGAUCCGCGAGCAUAGGGAAUGAAUCAAUGGAAUUUGGGGGUAAGUUGUGGUACCAUAUCAUUGCUUCAUUUGACUAAGUUUCCCCAAACUUCUUUAAUAACACUGACUCGAUCUCGUCUCCUUCCAAGUCGUUACCUUUGAUGGCGUAUGUGUAGGAGGUCAUAUGCUCAUUCAGAUCUAUGGUUCCAUUCUAUUUUGGAAUAUCGGGCAUAUGAAACCUUUUCGGGAUUGGCGUUGGUGUCACUCUUGGAGUAAAGGUUUUUGGACAAAUAUUUUGGAGUUCGAGCCUUUUAAUAUCAGGGGUGCUCUUGGAAUUGGAUCGACCCGAUAAGUAUAUGUCUCCACCUUCUUAUCGUUAGCCUCAAUUUUCUUUUCACCUGACUCCACCCGUUUCGUUAAUGCUUCAAGCAUUUUUAUCACUUCGGGACUGACACCGAGCUCAGUUCCAGCCGGCCUUUCGGCUAUCUGCUCAUUUCUUUGGGUGAUUUCCCGGGAUGGUUCGGGCUCAACUCUGCUGGGGGUGCGGCUUUGAUUUUGCAGCUAUGCUAUCGCCGCCUAUUGAGGCUGCAACAUUUUGAAAAUCACUUGUAAGCCGACUCUGUUGCCUUCGCCUUCAGGCACUCCUUGAGCCGUUGGUCGGGCUCCUCCAAAAACGUUGUUCUCGGGGUCGAUAGGCAGGUUCGUGUAAUUGGCCACAUGCGAGUUAGCAUCGAUUGGAUGUGUAAUUGGAACUCUAUUGGGAUCAGCAAGGGACACCUCAUUGCUAAGUACCAGAUUGUUGUUUUCGCUAUGAUGGCCAGAUUCAGACUCGGCGUUUAAGUGAGCAAACUGAGGAUUUGAUAUUUUCAAACAGACAUGAAAUUGUGACCUUAAAGAACAAGUGUAAAAUAGAGUGUGCUAUGGAGAUUUGUAUCAAACCACCACUAUUAUCCUUAGCUCCACGGUGGGUGCCAAACUAUUUACCCUUAAAUUGGAUAAUAAUUGAAUUAAUACGUGGCUUUAAGGAUAAGUGGAUUGAUUCAACACAAGUAAUCAAGAAUGUUAGAUAAACGAAUUAAAGAUGAGAUAGAUAACCAAACCAGUUGUGACUUUGACUCCGGGCUCGGAUUUUAGCUUAACAAUAGUUUUGCCCUCAACUGAACUCUCGAUUCGAAGCCAAAUACGUAUGAAGAACUAUGAUUAAAAUAAGAACCUUUCAAUAGAUAGAAAGCAGAGAAAUAAUUUUAUAUUGCCUUGAUAUGCUUGUUACAAUGAGUAUUGAAUUAAAAAACUUCCCCUUUAUAUAGUAGGAGAAUUUCAUCCCUAAUACAACUCUAAAAAGGGUAAAACAAAUCCUCAUUGAUCAUGAAUUACUGAUAUGCUAUCGAUGUCGGGCGAUAUUCGCACCAUGAUAUUCGGUUGGAUGUGGAUAUCAUGAUUUUCUAUUAGUCGAGUGCAACCGUUCAUAGUGCUUUCCGAGGUUUAGGAGCUCGCUUUGGGUUCGGGGAUUGUUGUCUUACCAGGACCGGUGGCAAACACUCCAUUCAGCCCCUGGUACGAGAAGUCCCCGGCUUCGAUUCUGAUCCCAUACAUUCAUGUCUUCGCUUCGUUUAACCGACCGGGAAAUCGAGGUAUAUGUUACCCCCGGUUUUACCCGUAUACAAGUUGCAUAGAGUAUUCCUUCCUAGUUUCAUGUAACUAAUGAUCCAAUCUCCUUGACUAUUUUUGAUGACUCCGUCUAUUCCCCAAACCCUAGGAUUUCCUAAACAUGAUCCAUCAAUGUUAGUUUAAGGGAUUCCCUUUAAGGAGGGGUUCUAUUUCACAGAAAUUAUAAAGUUGUCCUGUUUUGCGAAGUGAUUACUGAUUGCAUGAUGAGCCACCACUGCCUUGGCAAUGGUAUUAUUCACUGAGGUUAAAUCAUGCCUGUUUUGACUAGUAGAGGACUAACAAGUUUAACCAACUUCCGAAGGACACAUUUGACUAAAUAACUCAUACAUUUAUUUUUAUAUUUUCAUAUUUCAUUUGACAAUUAUUGCAAAUUUAUAUGUGUAAAUUAAGGAUUUAGAUGAAAACAAAUAAUAUAGAUUAAUUACAACUACAGAUUGUUGAGAUGAAUAUGGUCUGUAGACAUCGAAAUUUUAGCGGAUCAAGCCCAUACAUAAUUUGGGCUAAAUCCUAAAUUCAAGACACUAAAAGACGACUCUUGAAAUUUUAGGAGUCUAUUAAGGUUACUUGGAGGCUACUCUACUAAAACCCUAACUUGGUGGAUACUCUACCCUAACCCUAGGCCACUCCUAUAAAAAGGGUUACAUAUUUUCUUAGAAAAGAAUCUCUCAAAAAUGGAGAUCAUCUCAGAAAUUUCAUAAACUCUCGGAAUAUGCACAAAACAUCAAAUACACAAUCUCUAAAAUUCCAUAAAACUCUUGGAAUAUUCAUUAAGAGAUCAAAACAUGUCAAAUAUAUCUUGCUCAAAGUUCUAGCAACAUUCAAGAUCCAAAUGGAGUGUUGCUACAUGCUUCUUGAUCAUCAAAUAUAUCAAUGAGAUGCAUAUCAUCCUACAUUUGAGAAAUACGCUGCUAAGGCCCUCGAAUUACGGAUAACAAAUCGGAGGAAAGAAUCCAGGGAUAAACAGAGUUAUAACCCUCAAUGUUUAUCAAUAAAAUUAUUUUUUCUUUAUAGUUGUUUGUGAUUGUAGUUUUAUCUUUCUGCACAAAUUUGUUGCAAACAAAUUGGCACACCCAAUAGGACCAGUUCUGCCCUUCAUAUCUUCCUCCCACAAAUCGAAAACUACAAGUUUCAAAAUCAUAUGUUGUGAUGGUCGAGUACUUCAAGUCUCGUCUUCGAGUUUUGGCAAACCUACACCCCGACAAACCUUGAAGUAGGGGGCAUUUGUAGACAUAAAAAUUUUAGCGGAUCAAGCUUAUACAAAAUCUGGACUAAAUCCUAAAUUCAAGACACUAAAAGACGACUCUUGAAAUUUUAGGAGUCUAUUAGGGUUGCUUGGUACUCUACCAAAACUCUAACUUGGUGGCUACUCUACUAUAACCCUAGGCCACUCCUAUAAAAAGGGUUACAUAUUCCCUUAGAAAAAUAUCUCUCGAAAAUGGAGAUCAUUUCAGCAAUUUCAUAAACUCUCGGAAUAUGCACAAAGAGAUCAAAUACACAAUCUCCGAAAUUUCAUAGAACUCUUGGAAUAUUCAUUAAGAUAUUAAAGACAUGUCAAAUAUGUCUUGCUCAAAGUUCUAGCAACAUUCAAGAUCCAAAUGGAGUGGUGCUACAUGAUUCUUGAUCAUCCAAUACAUCAAGGAGAUGUAUAUCAUCCUACGUUUGAGAAAUACUCCGCUAAGGCCCUCGAAUUACGGAUAACAAAUUGGAGAAAAGAAUCAAGGGAUAAACAGAGUUGUAACCCGCAAUGUUUAUCAAUAAAAUUAUUUUUUUUUAUAUUUAUUUGUGAUUGCAGUUUUAUCUUUCUGCACAAAUUUGUUGCACAAAUUAGUUCCAUUGCUGGGAUCUCCUUUUAUCUUUCUGCACAAAUUAGUUGCAAGCAAUUUGGCACGCCCAGAGGGACCAGUUCUGUCUUUUAUCUCUUCCUCCUGCAAAUCGAAAACUACAAGUUUCAAGAUUAUUUAUUGUGAUGGUCGAGUAUUUCAAGUCUCGUCUUUGAGUUUUGGCAAACUUACACCCCUACAAACCUUGAAAUAUGGGGCAUUUGUAGAAAUCAAAAUUUUAGCGGAUCAAGCCUAUACAAAAUUUGGGCUAAAUCCUAAAUUUAAAACACUAAAAGACGGCUCUUGAAAUUCUAGGAGUCUACUAGUGUUGCUUGGAGGCUACUCUACCAAAACCCUAACUUGGUGGCUACUCUACCCUAACCCUAAGCUACUCAUAUAAAAAGGGUUACAUAUUCCCUUAGAAAAGGAUCUCUCGAAAAUGGAGAUCAUCUCAGCAAUUCCAUAAACUCUCGAAAUAUGCACAAAGAGAUCAAAUACACAAUCUCCGAAAUUCCAUAAAACUCUUGGAAUAUUUAUUAAAAGAUCAAAACAUGUCGAAUAUGUCUUGCUCAAAGUUCUAGCAGCAUUCAAGAUCCAAAUGGAGUGUUGUUACAUGCUUCUUGAUCAUCAAAUACAUCAAGAGAUGCAUAUCAUCCUAUGUUUGAGAAAUACGCUGCUAAAUCCCUCGAAUUAUGGAUAAUAGAUCAGAGGGAAGAAUCAAGAGAUAAAUAGAGUUGUAACCCGUAAUGUUUAUCAAUAAAAUCAUUUUUUCUUUAUAGUUAUUUGUGAUUGCGAUUUUAUCUUUCUGCACAUUUGGUUCUGUUGUCGGGAUCUCCAUUUAUCUUUCUGCACAAAUUUGUUACACCAAAUUGGCACGCCCAGUGGAACCAGUUCUGCCCUUCAUCUCUUUCUCCCGCAAAUUAAAAACUACAAGUGUCAAAAUCAUCUGUUGUGAUGGUCGAGUACUUCAAGUCUCGUCUUCGAGUUUUGGCACAUGUACACCCCGACAAACCUUGAAGUAGGGGCAUUUGUAGACAUUAAAAUUUUAGCGGAUCAAGCCCAUACCAAAUUUGGGCUAAAUCCUAAAUGCAAGACACUAAAAGAUGACUCUUGAAAUUAGAGUCUAUUAGGGUUGCUUGAAGGCUACUCUAUCAAAACCCUAACUUGGUGGCUACUCUACCUUAACCCUAGGUCACUCAUAUUCCAUUAGAAAAGGAUCUCUAAAAAAUGGAGAUCAUCUCAGCAAUUCCAUAAAUUCUCGGAAUAUGCACAAAGAGAUCAAAUACACAAUCUUCGAAAUUCCAUAAAACUCUUGGAAUAUUCAUUAAAAGAUCAAAACAUGUCGAAUAUGUCUUGCUCAAAGUUCUAGCAGCAUUCAAGAUCCAAAUGGAGUGCUGCUACAUGCUUCUUGAUCAUCAAAUACAUCAAGAGAUGCAUAUUAUCCUACAUUUGAGAAAUACGCCGCUAAGGCCCUCGAAUUACGAUUAACAAAUCGGAGGGAAGAAUCAAGGGAUAAACAGAGUUAUAACUCGCAAUGUUUAUCCAUAAAAUCCUUUUUUCUUUUAUAGUUGUUUGUGAUUGUAGUUUUAUCUUUCUGCACAAAUUUGUUACAAACAUGGUCAUUUCAUCUUUAAUCAGAAGUAUUGGAUUUGAAUUAUGAGAAAGAAAAAAAAAACUAGAUAAAAUUCCCCGACAACCAUUUUUUAGUCCAUAUAAUGGAAAAUAGUCACUGUCACGAAGUAUCUGAAAUUUCACUUGUGAAAAUUAAAACUCAAUGACAAUGGCUGUUUCUCAAUUUAAAAGUUAAAAGGUGGCCAGCCGCACUAUUACUACGAAAAAUUCUUAGUAGGUAAAGCGCCCUCUUAGUAAGCCUUAUGUCGUGCACAUCCAAAUUUAUUGGGUCCAUGCAAAUAAUGAACACCUAAUAACUAGGGGCAUAUUUAGGUUAAGGGAUAUGUGCUCACGUGAACUUAUGCUCCUCUCCAUAAAUCAUGUAUAACUAUAUUAUGUAUCUUCAAAAUACUUAAAUAUAUGUGCAUGCACUUAAUUUUAAAGACUCAUGUAGUGCAAUAAUUAUUGGGUGCACAUCUACAAGUAAAAUUGGUGAUUUAAAUCACAUUCCGAACGGUCUUAUUUUUAAUACGGAGUAUAGAUAUAUACGUGGGAAUUCAAAAAUAAUAAAUUUUGAAUCUUUAUUUUUAGAAGUAUAAUGGGUUUAUGGUAAAAGUUUAAAGUUAAACCUGUCAAAUGUAGAACUAGAUUUACCUCUUCACAAUAAUGCACUCAUUCUCUUGAAAUCCUGAAUCCGCAUUUGCGAGUCACAAACUAAAAUAAAUGAUUACUAGAAUAUGUUAAACAAAUACUUUACUAAUAAUUAAAAUUACUAAAAAUCCUUUUUCAGAUGUGUAUAAAAAUUUUCAACAACAAAAAUAAUAUAGACCAUGUAAUAGUAGCUCUUUUUAAAAGGAUAGAAGAUGCUUGGCAACGCCAAUCCAUAAAUUUUUGUCAUGACGCAAACUACCACAAGCCUUUUCCUCUACUUUUUGAAGGAAUCUCUGUUUCUUUCUCAUUCAUACAUCCCAAUUGCUAGAUGACAAAAAGAGUUCCUUGUGACCCAACCAACUGCAAUUGCCACUAAAAUAACUUCUUGGGCUGUUGGCCACGUCAUUUUUCUUACUCAAAAUUAGGCAAAUAUCGGUAAGCCUUGAUGGCUGAUUUCAUGCCUUAGUUUCUCUCCAUUUUCCUUAUCCCACAAUCACCACACUACAAUAUUCCACGUAACAAUGAAACCCCUCCACCCUUCUCCUACCCAACCCAGAAAAAGGGAAUAAUAAUAGAAAGACACAAAAAUAUCUUGAGAAUGUCAUAAGUUCUAAAGUUUACUAGCAAAAUAGUUAAGUGCAAGUUUACCAAAAGAUUUCCUCGUAUGAAGGAGAGGAAGAACCCGCUCUAAAAAAUAUUAGUCACAAUUCGAACUAAAUUUAGUCUGCCGUGUAUUAUUUUUCCUUGAUUUGCAUUAGUACAAAAGUUUAUGAGUGAUAUUUAUUUUCUUAAGUUUUUUGCUUAACAUCAUUGGCAAAUUAAUCAAUUGACGCGUUUCCUGGUCGUAGGCAAGUUCUUCCUUCAAAAGUUCUUUAGAACAUAUUCAUAUUUUUAUAAGAAAGUUCUCCCAAAAUCACUCGCAUCAAAGGGGGAAUUAUGCCAAUUAUUUUUGAAUAUGAACAUACAAGAAGAAGAAAAAGAAGAAGCAACAUCACUGAGUGAAGUGGAAAUAAAUUUCCAUUAAGAAAGAAUAUGAAUCACAGUUACAGUUGCUUUUUCUCACUUGAAUUAGUAAUCAAUAAAAGCUUAAAACUUGCUAUUUCUCCCUAAUCGCCAAAUACAAAGUCUGAUCUCUUUAAAAUACGUACUACAGCCCUUCAGACCAUUCUGAUAACACCUGCUUCUUCUCUCUUGAAUGAAGAGCUCAAAUGCCCAAAAGGGUCAUACAAAAUAAGGCAUAAAAUUCCUUUCUUCUACAAUUGUUUAGUGUAAUUGAAAUAGAAAAUCUCUGGUAAAAAGUGGGA